RNAcentral lists this long non-coding RNA (81935 nucleotides) under Malus domestica (apple). Its description in RNAcentral is "long non-coding RNA (MDOM_LNC004302)". Lineage: Eukaryota; Viridiplantae; Streptophyta; Magnoliopsida; Rosales; Rosaceae. The record is from RNAcentral.
UCACUUGGUCUUCAUGUUUUUGCUUCUCCUUCUACCAUUGCUACUAAUUUUAUAGUUUCUAAUACUAUUGGCAGGGCCCUCCCUAGAGCUGUUUUUUAGUAGCUUUUUUGUUUUGCUUGUUGGGCUUUGCCCUCUUCUGUACCCAAAAAAAAAAAAAAAAAAAAAAAUAUUGGGAAAUUUAUUUGGACCCAACUUUUUUAUCUCUACACCCAAAUAAUAUUUUCUCUUAUCUAAUCUUCCAAAUUUGUCCUUAAAUAACAAACAUUGAAGUUUUCUUUGUAUCUCUACACCCAAACCCCACGAUCCACCACUGUAGGGCGCUCCAUUAUUUCCGACAAACCCAACUCAAACGCCAGCAACACUAAAAUCGACAAAUCAAGACUGGAGAACAAAUGGUGUAGGAGUCCUAAUGUGAAUAUUAAAGCAAACUUAAGUUGCAAAACCCUUUUUUAUUUCAAUCGAUGAAAGGACCUUGGGUUAUGAACAUAAGGAACCUAUUAGGGUUUAGAGGUCCCCUCCACAUCAUAUGCAUAAGCCCUUUUUCUUCAUUCAUUAAUUUACGGAAGGGAAAAUUAAUACUAUUAUUCUCAUAAAAAGUGGGAAUACCAAGGAAAGAGAUCCUCUCCACACCAUAUAUUUUUCUUUUCUGAGUAGUUAUAUCCAAUGGAGAGAGGAAAACAAGAGCACCAAUGGUCGCAGGUUCACCGGAGAAAAUGAAGGUGCAGUGGUGAUGUGAGUUUAGGGUUAUUGGGUGUAAAGAUAACAACUUUAAUAUUUAUUUUCUCAUUUUUAUUUAUUUAAGGGCAAAUUUGAAAGUUUAGUAGAGAAAAUUUGUUAGUUGGGUGUAGAGAUAAAAAGGUUGGGUCCAACAAAAUUUCUCAUAAAGUUUAAUCACGCGAUUAAGUUCUUGUGCAAUGAGUAAAUUGUAGCAAUGACCCAUCAACUAAAAAUCCAUUAUUAUUGAUCCCUCAACUCAUCAAAAUAUGUAGUUAUGGUCAUUUUCGUCAACUUUGUAAGAAUUUUGUCAAAAUAAAUUAUGUUGGAAGGACCAUUGUUACAAUUAAGGUCCUUCAACUCAUCAAAACAUGUAGCUAUGGUCAUUUUCGUCAACUUUGUCAAAAUGAGUUAUGUUGGCAUGACCAUUAUUGCAAUUGGGUUAAAGUUGAGGAAUCAUUGCUCCAAUUGGGUUAAAGUUGAGGGAUCAUUUCUCUAGUUAGAUUAAAGUUGGGGGACCAAUGAUAAUUAAGUUUUAGUUAAGGGAUCAUAGUUGCACGUUUUGAUGAGUUGAGAGAUCAAUGAUAAUGAAUUUUUAGUUAAUGGAUCAUUACUCCAAUUGAGUUAAAAAUAAAGGACCAUUGCUACAAUUUACUCUUGUGCAAUAGAAGAUUAAUUUGGCCGAACAACCUGAUUAAGGUGCCUACUUUCUCUUUAAUUCAUUGGUAUCAUUUAUUUUCCCUUAAGCUGAAUUAUGCUCAAUUUAUGUAUCAAUAUUGUAAAGUUGUCUUUGUUAGAGUAAUUUGGACAAUAUAAAUUGAAAAUUAUUUGUGUAUAUGGAAAAGAUUAACCUCAGGGGUCACUUCGCCGGACUCCGUAGCAAUCUCCACCACUCCAAUCGUAAUGGUGAGUAAAUCACUUGUGUUUGUUUCCAUUUUUUCAAUUGGAAAUUGGGGGUUUUGAAUUCAUAUUUUGUCAAUUGGUUUUGUGAGCACUGAGAAUACACUACGAGCUUGUGUGUGUGUACAAUAUGUUGGAUUUGAUCUUUAUAAAGAAUGCGAGAAAUUGGGGUUAGGAAAGAGAAGAAAAGGAAACAGAACUCGAACUUCGAUCUUCAUUCUUGUUACUAAAGGAGAAAACCGAAUUUGAACCGGUUCAUACGUAAUCGAACCGAAUUUGUAUAGUUCGGUUCACCCCUUAGUACCGAACCGUACCAUACCAAAAAAAAUUUCUUGAGUUUGGUUUUGAUACAUCCCUCAUACUGUACCAUACCAAAUCGUGGCCAGACCUACUGAAUACAAAACUUAUAUCUGGGUCGUAAGUCGUAAGGCCUCCAAAAAAAAAGUUCAUAUUAUUCAUACCAAUCGGACAAAUCCCGCACCCAAAAACAAUGGCUAGAUAGAAAGUUCAAUUAUAGAUUAGGUAAUCUAUCCUUUUCAACUUAAAUGCACAUUCAUGAUGGUUAUGCAAAUCAUAUUAUGUUAACAAAUGCAACAAUUAAUUAUAUUUAUCCAUUUGGAAUGAUAUAUAUUUUCAAAGAUGGAAUUACAGACCCCGUUGACGUUGAGGCCAUUGCAUGAGAGAAUUUUAGAUGAUUUUCAAUUAAUUUAUAUUAUUGUUGUGAUAACCAUAAUAAUUAUUUUCUAAAUGUAAAACUAUAUUAAUGAAAUUUUCUUUGUCGGUCAAAAGAAGAUGAAAAGAUAUCUUUAUCUUCUAUCACAACAAAAAAAUUAAGGAUAUUAAUGUAAUAGGCUAAUAGCGAUGGGGUGAAGAAAUGGAACUAUCCUAAAUAGGCAGUUGCUGGUUAUAUUGGAUCAGGUGGUCUGAAUGAUUGGAUAAUUAGCAAAUAAAAAGGUUCCAUUUUUCAUGGACCCUCAAGUGGAAAUAUGGGAUAAAAGAUGGCAUAUACCAUUUUAUCCAUUUGUGAUUGUACAUUUUGAUGGUUGUGAUUUCACCCGAUGGCGCGGCAAGUGUGGAUUGGGAUAAGGAUGGUUUUGGUCUAUCAUCAAAGAUGGUUUGAUGUUCACGACUGGAUUUUACAACGCAUCCAAGUGCAUGGGUUCUAUAAAUACAGAGUUGCGCACAAUAAAAAAGUACAAAGGACCUUCAAACCUUUCACACACUCUGAGAAACUCCUGAUUCUCCCAACUUCGUCAACACAUCUUCAAUUUGGAUUAACAUCACUGUUUGUCAGUGAGGAGUCCUUAGUCUUCUCGUCUCAUUAGCCCUCUAGGUGAAGUGAGGUGUUACUGAAUUACUUGAGUAUUCAGCACAUUGAAAGUCGAACCUUAUUUGAACUUCACAGUAGUUAGCAAUCUUAUCUUCAGGUUUUAGAACCCAAUGCCAAGACAUAUUCCUUCCUCGACAGUGAUGGUUUGUACACAAAAGUUGGUUUGUACACAUAAGUCAGUAUUGUGUUUGACACACCAUCCCAUUCAUUCUACUAGCCCACAAACGCGUGGACUCGUCCAAAAUUACCCCACUCUCGGCCCGUUCACUUGCCCACUCGUCCCACGCGGCCCGUGAGUCUUCAGUGCCUGAUAGGGGGGCCUACUGUUAGGGCCGUUGUUGGCCACAACCCAGAGCCCAACGAUUUUUUUUUGCAUCCCACGACUGGCAUUUUUGGACCGUUGGUUGAUCCAACGGUCCAGAUUCAAAUUUUGUUUUUUUAAAUGUUAUUUUAAAAUACAUUGAAUCCAACGGCUGAGAUCGAAUAUAAUCAAAUCUAACGGUAAAAUAAAAAAAGAUAAAAAAAGAUAUAACAGUCCAAAUUUAAAUCCAACAGCUAAAAUAAUUUUAAAAAAAAUUAUUUAACUCAAAAUUCACCCAAAAACUCUAUAAAUACCUUUGUAUUUGUUCAAACAUCCACACAAAACUCAAUUUUCUCCCACAAUUCUUCCAUUUUUUCUUUCUACCAUUUCUUUCCAUUUCCAAAUUGUUCAACACGAUCCUUGAAUUGGCCAUCCCAAGCAGUAAGACAAUUCUUCCACUCCCAAAGCAUACAAUCGAGACUUCCUAUCAUGUCAGGAAAGCCUAUUUUGUCUGCUUUGAGUAGAAUGUGACGACAUGUCCCGAAUUAUUAUAUAUUUUUCUCCCUAAGUGUGUAAAGUGACGGUAAUGCCCUCGUGAUUUAGUGACGUGGAUGUACAUAUGUAGUUUUAAAUUAUUAUUUCUAUUGUCGUAGUUAAAUUGUACUCGACGCCAUGAGUGUGUUGAUGUGACCUAGGGCUAAAACAAAUUCGUAACGAAGAAGUUACGAACAGACGAGUGUGUAAAUGCGUAGAAAUAUAUUUUUAUGGGUUGGCUAUACCUUACCCACCAAUCACCUUAAUUCCUGAUUUCUUUGGCCUAAUUGAAUUAAAAAUAUCUCUCAUUUUUCCUUCUGCCCAAUCACGCACAUACACACCAUCACUCUCUCUCUUCUCUCGGACCUUCUUCUUCUUUCUUCUCAUUCCGUACACCCGAGCCACCCUUACCUCACAAUCAUCAUCAAAACAUUAUGGAUCGAAUUGGAAAUCACUACCAUCGCAGUCACCUCGAUCCCACGAACUCAUUGAUACCCUUAGGUCGAGGAAUAGACGUCGGGAAUUCGAGAACUCGGGAGCUCUGGCGAGGUGUAUUUUUCUACUUUGUGAUCGUGGUCUUUUUCUAUGGUUUAAAGGCUUGAGGUGGGUCCUAAUCAACUUUAUAGGGACCCUAGAUUAGUUUUGGAGCAGUUUGAACGUUGGAAUAGGUGAGAACAUGGAGUUGCAGGUUGGCCGGUUGAUCCAAGCCUUACUCCGACCACUUUCUGUCGGUUUUAGAACCUCAAGUAGGUAAGAUUGUAUUCUUCUAGUUGAGAGUUUCAAAUCCAUAUAAAAUUCAUGGAAUUUGGUUGAAAAAUGAUGAAGAUAUUAAAGUUUUAAGAUUUUUCCAAAAAUCAGCGACACAAACGGCGCCCGACGGCCAGCGAUGGAUUCCGACAAAGCCAUCGGAGAAGGAGGAGAAUAUUAUGUCUAACUUUGACAGAAUAUACUAACAGCGUCAGGUAACUCUAUUAGUUUUUAAACAAAAUAUUCUACUAUUUAAUGAAAUAUUCCCUAACGCCGUUAGGGAUUCCGUGCCUGCACGUGCCGGCUUAUGAGGGCGCGUGAGACGUCAGGAAAUUAAUCUAAAAAUAUUGGGGUGUUCGAGUUGUUGAGUAGGUCAUGUUGGUAUAUUCAAACACCCUAUUUGAGCAACGUAUGAGAAGUUAUUCCUAGGGUUUGUGUAUGUGCCUUAAAAUUAAUGUAAAAUUAGUUAUUUCGCAUAUAGGUGAGACUUACCCGGAGGACAAACGUGGUCAAACGAGACUUGGGGGCUACGAUCCUACUACUUACCAGUGAGCGGGCUUUUUUUUUCUAUAUAUAUGUAAAUAUGCUUAUGAAUCCCAUAAACUACUUUAAAUGAACGUAUGUUUUAAAUGCCAUGUCGUGUGCAUUAUGUGUUAGUAUUGCAUUAGUAUAGCUAUGCAUAGUAUUGGAUGAGACUGCGCAGACUCAGGUAAGUUUCAGGUGAGUACAUCAUGAUGGUAUUGGGUGCGUGUGUGUGGUUAUACGUUGAUGCAUUUUGAGCUUAUUAUCCUGCACAUUGGUGUUAGUGUUCUCGCCCAUGGCCAGGGCAUAGUUUUUCACAUGAUGUUCACCUCCUGGGCCGCACGCUCACUUUGGAUCCAAGUUUGGUGCACAGCCAUAUUGCACAGACCACAAUAGGUGGUUCCGACUCGUAGGUGACCUGCAAUUAUUUGCACAGCCUUCACGUGAUCGUAGCACUUAAGCGUACUUAUCUACACCCAGCCCUGUUGUACAGACCACAAUAGGUGGUUCCGACUUAUGUGCAUGCAUACUUGAUGAGCUAUAGAUUCAAUUGUACAGGUUACAUUAGGUGACUCCGGUUGGCAUACUAUUUUAGGUUGAUUCGUAUCACCUGGCUUACACAUUUUAUGGUUGAACAUCUUGACAUGGCAUACCUCUGUUUUCACUGCUCUAAGCAUUAUCCUUAUGUACCUAGUUGUUAUUAUUUUCUGGAAAAUUAUAUGGGUUUACAGUGAGGGGUUAGUAUGUUCAUAAAGACAACUGUGUUUUCAAAAACUUUGUUUUUGCCUACUCACAUUUUUUGUUUUGCACCCUUUCAGGUUCUAGGUAGUUGGUCAUCCUUGGUGGCUCACGAGGACUUUCACGGCGGUUCUGACAUCUCUGUAAAUAAGUAGGGAUUUUUUUCCCUGUUUGUAUAAUUAGUACUUAGUUGGUUCGAUUGCACUUUCGUUUACCCAUGCUCUGAUAUUUGUAUAACUUGCUUGGUCAUCUUUACUCACUUAUAUUAUCUUAGUUUAGAUAAGUUUGGUUUUAGGUUUUUAUUUAUUCGCAUUUCUUUUAUUAUUACUUCUGUUGCGCAUUUUGGCUACGUUACUCUUACGUGACGGGCAUCAUGUUUCGACUUCGGUUGGGGUGUGUCAUAAAAGCCUCUUCAAGUCUUCAUGAUUUGGCUUGCAGAGAUAUGUGGCUCCAUAUGUGGCCUGAAUUGCCCCACAGAAGCGCUCCAGGUUUUUAAUAGCAGUAGUCUCCGCAAGUCGGCAAUACUCAUCAGUUGAGUUUGCAGAGCACUCAUUAGCUAGCAUCCGAAAUGCAGAUGUGAGCUUCUGAUGAGGUGAUAGACUUUGUCGGCCUACGACAUUUAUCUUCCUUGCAAAGUAGUGGUCAUGAUUGACAACUGUGUUCAAGAUGCUUUCAAAAAUCUCUCUCCUCAUUCGAAACCGUCUCCGAAAAUCAUGAGCAGGAAAUCUCGGACGCUCAAUAAAAUAAUAUUUCAUCAUUCGGUCAUGACACUCUUCUCUAUCACGUUGCACAAAUGAACGCUUCGUGACAUAACCACAAUAGCUAGAUUCGACAUGGUGCUCAUAUUGCAUAAGCGAGUUUGGAAGUUUAGCUUAUGCGUUGAUCAUUUUUGAAUCCUCAAUGUCAAGGCUUGCUUGGUAUUAUGUCAUUUGCAUUGCCCUGCUACACCUUCUUCUAUCAUCCAUUGUUGAUAUAUUGAGGAUUUUUAUGAAACAAAAACACUUUGAAAGUUGAAAGAUUAGUGAAUAUAGGGAAUGAUUGAAGGUUGAAAGAUUGUGUGACCAACUGAUAUUGAACAUGUGUUUAUAUAGAGGAUGAUUGAUGAAAGUUGAAAGUUUGGUGAAAGUUGAACGGUUGGUGAAAGUUGAAGAUUUGUGAAAGUUAAAGACUUGCUUUGUGGAAAGAUUUAGUGAUUUUUUCAAUAUUUAUUGGAAUUUAAAUAUUUUUAUAUUAAAAUGUUCAUAAAAUUAAUUUACCAUAGGCUACAUAAUUUUUUUUAAAAGUUAAUUUAAGAAAAAAAAUUAGCCUAAGUUCAUUCUUUAAUAAUCCCGAACUAAAAUUUUAGGCUAGGGUUGGAGCAGAAAAACUGUUUCUGUGUUAAAAGCUAAAUUUUUUAGAUUAAAAAUUUUAAAUUUUAACCCAAAGGUUGGAGAUGAUUUAAGAAUGGAUAAACUUAACCAAGAAAAGAAGAAAAAAGAUGAAGGGCAAAUAAGUGAGAAGCAACAUGACACGACACACGGACGACCAUAGCAAUAAAGCGUGCGUCCUCACGUCCAUUGAAUAUAUAGAUGGGAGCUACAACAUCGUGUUUCACGUGCAUGUGUAUUAUACAUAAAGGCAUAUACAGUGUUAGCUUAUAUAUUAUAAAGUUUGUAGGCCACUUACCCAAUUUGGCAUAUGUUUUAUCUUUUUACGUGAAUAACCAAUGUGUUAUGAUGAUACAAGUCUCUUAACAUAUCCGGAGUUAGAAAUAUCAUAAGACAGUGUUGCGAUCAUAUUGAAAUUAAUUGACAGUUUGUAUUAUAUAUUUGAUUAUUCUUUAUUAACUUAAGGAGACAGCAUACUUAGACCUAAUUUAGUCACAUUCUCCAACCGAAAAUAAAGCGGUGUAGUAUUCAUACACUUUUUUUUAUUUCUUACACAGUCUUAAUUAAUUUCUAUUGUUUGAUCUUCUUCAAUUCAUUCGAUCUGACGACCGAAAAUUAAGAUGGUGUGUGGACGAGUAAAUUAUAACAAUGGUCCCUCAACUUUAAUCAAAUUGGAGCAAGGGUGCUCAACUAAAAAUCCAUUACCAUUGGUUCCUCAACUCAUCAAAAUGUGUAGCUAUGGUCAUUUUCGUCAACUUCGUUACAAUUUUGUCAAAAUAAGUUAUAUUGGAAUGACUAUUGCUACAAUUGGGGUCCCUCAACUCAUCAAAACGUGUAGCUAUGGUCAUUUUCAUCAAUUUCGUUAGAAUUUUAUCAAAAUGAGUUUUGUUGGAAUGACCAUUGCUACAAUUGAAUUAAAGUUGAGGGACUAUUAUUUCAAUUGAGUUAAAGUUGAAAGAUCAUUUCUUCAGUUGUAUUAAAGUUGAAGGAUCAAUGGUAAUGAAUUUUUAGUUGAGGGGACUAUAGCUGCACGUUUUAAUGAGUUGAGAGAACAAUAAUAAUGAAUUUUUAGUUGAAAAACUAUUACUUCAAUUGAGUUAAAAUUAAGAAACAAUUGCUACAAUUUUUUUAUAUGGAAAGUGGAUGAUGUGAAUAGCACAUCCAAAAAUAAAAGGGAACUUUAACGAAAAGCACCCGGUACUGUUCACUUUAACGAAAAACCACAUUUUUACACUAAAAAGUCAAUCCUGGUACUAUUCACUUUACCCUUUAUUUUGUCCUUAUCAUUAAAACUCAAAGUUUUCAAGCCCUUUUCAUUAGUUUUCCUAAAAUAAAAUGCACCACAAUUUGGUAGGAUCUUCCUGUUGAGAGUAAUAAAUUAAUAAUUGCCGAAAUAUUGGAUAAUUUGUCGGCCACAACGCUAUGAGGGAGUAUCUGGGGAUGAAUAUACUCUUGCCGACAGAUGCCCAAAUUCCAACUGCCAUUCAAAUGAGCCCUCCACCACCACCGGCCAUAAUAAAUUCUCUUUCUUUAGUGAAGAAGAAAAAGAGGUACUUGGCCCUCACCUCAACUUUUUGAGAAAGAACAAGUUUAUCGCUAUCAGAAUGUUUCGGUCAAUUAUAUAAGUUAUGUGUAAAUUUUUCUUUAGAUAACAUUACAUUAUUAUAUUUAAAAUGUUCCGUAACGAUAAAUUUGUUUCAUACAAAUUAUUCUCCAACUUCUUGGAUUUUUCUCCUUUUUCCCGAAAACCAGCUUAUAUUAGUGUUCAUCCUCUGUCAAUAUCACUCGCCCACAACUAUUCAACUAACUUUUAAUAAUUUGACAACGUGUCAUAUUUUUGUGCAAAGCGGGCCCAUUUUUGUGGGUGAUAUAAUAAUGGCGUAUGUGGUUUGUCAAGACAUAUACUCAUUUAUCCAUUAGCAGUUAGGUAAGUCACCUCACUCACCCACAGCCUAACACAUCAACAAAUAUUGCUUACAAAUUCUAGAAAAUUCGACCAAGAAAAAAAACCAAAUGCUCGCAAAUUAAAAUUGUGUAACAUGAUUAGUUUUUUAUCCAUUAGUAUUAAUUUUACGUUGGAAGAAAUUCCAAAUUUAUUCUUGUAAAGAGGGAUAUGAAAAUACUUUGUAUGUCUAUCACCAAAAUCUUCGAAUGUUUGAAUGGUUGAUUUUCAAGUCUCACACAAUUGGAUUUAGUUCAAGUGAGAAAGAAAUACACUCAAACUAUUAGAUAUGAGGAAUGAAAAUACACUACAAAAUCUUGUGAACAUUUCUAAUAUUCUCUUCUAUCUACUUUUUGUGAACCAAGUUUUUAUUUGUUUUUUUUUUUAACAAAAGAUAUUUUUUAUACUAGGGAAAUAAGGUGGGUUUAGCCUCAUAAUGGGCUAACAUAAUCUAGUUCAAACUUGCAUUUGGUGAGAAUCGAACCUAAAAUCUCUCACUUACAAGUGAAGAGGAAUACCAUUAGAAGUGUCAUGAAAUUAGCAGUCUUAUAUGUAAAAAAUUGAUUGACUAAAUGCUGUGUUAAAAAACAAGAUUAAUACUUGCAUCUCCCCACUUGGAAAAUGCAAAUAUUUCAUUUCUUGCAAAUAACGUAUAUCAUGCGUUCUGUUCAAUCGCAUAUUCAAAAAUGUUAAAAACAAGAUUAAUAUUUCUAUCUCCCCACUUGGAAAAUGCAGUAUUUCAUUUUUUACGAAUAACGUAUAUCCUGUGUUCCGUCCAAUCGCGUAUUAAAAAAAUGUGUGAAGUUUGGAUUAACUACACUCUUUGAGAAUUUCCUUAAAUAACCACUUUUUGAAAAUUUCUUAUAGGACUAAGUGAGUCUCCGCUGAGAAUUUCCUUAACUAACACAACACUACUUGAGUGAUAAUUUGUUAUAUCUUGAAUAGAGAAUAAAUCAGUUCCCUACUUUUGAAGGUACUAUUAACUUACACUAUAUUUGAAUGAGAACAAUAAACUUAGAAUUUAGAUGAAGGAAAUAAAACAGUUUCCUACUUUUGAAGGUACUACUCGAGUGAUAAUUUGUUAUAUCUUGAUAACGUGUCAUAUUUUUUUGCUAAGCGGACCCAUUUUUGUGGGGUGGUAUAAUAAUGGCGUUUGUUGUUUGUCAAGGGCAUAUACCCAUUUAUCCAUUAGCAGUUAGGUCACCUCACUCACCCACAACCUAGUACAUCAACAAAUAUUGCUUACAAAUUCUAGAAAAUUCAACCAAGAGAAAGAAAACCAAAUGCUCGCAAAUUAAUCUGUGUAACAUUAGUUUUUAUCCAUUAGUAUUUAUUUUACAUUGGAAGAAAUUCCAAAUUUAAUCUCGUAAAGAGGGAUAUGAAAAUACUUUGUAUAUCUAUUAUCAAAAUCUUUGAAUGUUUGAAUGAUUGAUCAUCAAGUCUCACACGAUUGAAUUUAGUUCAAGUGAGGAAGAAAUACACACAAACUAUUAUAUAUGAGGAUUGAAAAAUACACUACAAAAUCUUGUGAUAACAUUUCUAAUAUUCCUUUCUAUCUACAUUUUGUGAUAAGUUUUUUUUUUCCUUUUUUGAACAAACUAUAUUUAUCUACAUUAAGGGAGAGGAGGUGAUCUUAGCCUCACAAUGGGCUAGCAUAAUGUGGUUCAAAUUCGCCUUUGGCGAUAAUCGAACCUAAAACUUAUCAUUUACAAGUAAAUAGGAAUACCACUAGAUGGAUCAUGAAAUUAGCAGUCUUAUAGGUAAAAAAAAAUUGAUCGACUAAAUGAUGUGUUAAAAAACAAGAUUAAUACUUGCAUCUCUCCACUUGAAAAAUGUAGAUAUUUCUGUGAACACGGAAAAUUCCUGAAACGAAAGAGACAAGAACAACGUGCACAAAAUAAUAUUUUGGUGUUAAUGGAUUUGUUGGGUUACGAUCUCUUUUAACUUGAUCCUCUGAUUCGAUCUCCGUAAGGUGUUGAUUUAUGGAUGUUUCGUUGAUCCAAGGGCUGUUGAGGCUUGAUCUUAGAUGAACUGUUGGAAGUUUCUUCAAGGGGCCGUGGGCUUGAUCUUUGAAGGUGGAUUUGAGCGGAUCUUCAAGGAGCCGUUGGGGCUUGAUCUUGAGGAUGAGUGUUUCUUCAAGGGCCGUUAAGGCUUGAUCUUGAAUAACGGUGAUGAACGGAUCUUCAAGGGCUUUUGGGCUUGAUCUUGAAGAACGGUUGGAUGUGUGGAUUUGUUGAUGUUGUUGAUCCAAGGGCCGUCGGAGCUUGAUCUUGGAAGAACGAUGAACGAAGAACGAAGAACACUUUCUUCAAAGGCCGUCGGGGCUUGAUCUUGAAUUGGUGAUUGUUGAUCCAAGGGCCGUCGGGGCUUGAUCUUGGAAGAACGAUGAACGAAGAACGAAGAACACUUUCUUCAAGGGCUGUCGGGGCUUGAUCUUGAAUUGGUGAUUGUUAAUCCAAGGGCCGUCGGGGCUUGAUCUUGAUUCUUCGGGAUGAACGGAUGAUGAACAAUGAACACUUUCUUCAAGGGCCGUCGGGGCUUGAUCUUGAAUUGGUGGAAGUUCUUCAAGGGCCUUUGGGGCUUGAUCUUGAAGGUGGAUGAUUGUUGAUCCAAGGGCCGUCGGGGCUUGAUCUUGGGAUGAACAGUUGUGUGGAUUUGUUGAACACUUUCUUCAAGGGCCGUCGAUGCUUGAUCUUGAAUUGGUGGAAGUUCUUCAAGGGCCGUUGGGGCUUGAUCUUGAAGGAGGAUUUGACGAAGAACGAAGAGGGCUUUCUUGAUCCUUCGGGAUUUGCUUGAAUUUGGGAGGUUGGAUGCUUGAAAGCUUUAGAGUUUCAAAGCUUCAAGGAUUUUGGAUGUGUGGGGAGUAUUCUCUUCCAUUUUGGGAGUAGAGAAAUGUAUUUGUGAAUUGGUUUUUGAUACCUUGAUGUAGAAGCCUAUUUAUAGGCUUUGAGAAUGAAUCACCACCACAAAAUAUUUUUUUUCUUUUCCAAGCACCAUUGCCUAAUUUCCCACUUAAUACAAUUUUAAACUUGAAGUGGUAAUUUUAUGGCCUAAUUUUCCACUUAAUAUCAUUUUAAACUUGAUAUGUGCAUGCUUUGUCAUUGCCCAAAAUGAGAAGAAAACCUUGUUUUGAUCUUCAAUGAAUUGAAAUGUGCUUGCCUUGUCAUUGCCCAAAAUGAGAAGAAAAACUUGUGUAAUCCUUCAAGGGUAUUUCUUUUUAUUUUGUUGAGUCGCACACCAUGUGUACAAUUUGUAUGACACGUGGCAUAUGCCAUGUACGCCUUGACACGUCAAAAUUUUAAUGCGUUGGUGAACAUUUAUUUCACCGCAAUUUCGGUGUCUACAAAUGCCCCCACUUCAAGGUGCGUCGUAUACAUGUGCUUGUCACGUGUAGGAGAUGCGUUUUGAAGUCCCUUACUGUAGAUGUCAAUCCAAUGGCCAUCGAGGCUUGAUCUUGAAUUGGGCUGGAGAUUUCUUCAAGGGCCGUUGAGGCUUGUUCUUGGACUUUGUUUGAAAUUUCUUCAAGGGCCAUCGAGGCUUGAUCUUGAAGGUUGAAAUUGGACCACAAGGAGCUUCAUGUGGUAGAUGAUCUUUGGCUUUGGUAGUGGAUGAAUCGGCACGUAUUUGUUUUUGCGCUUUGUUGACUUUCCACAGCUUUGAUCUUGAACUGGGUUGGAGGAUUUUUUGGAUUCCUCCAAUUGUUGAUUUUCCACAGUUUAUUCUUGAACUGGAUUUGAUUCAAAUAUGGUGGACGCUUGAUCUUGAAUCGGACUUGUGAUUUCCUCAAGGGCCGUCGAGGCUUGAUCUUGAAUUUGGCCGGAAACUUCUUCAAGGGCCGUUGAGGCUUGAUUCUUGAAGGUUGACUCGAACACAUGGCAAGCAGGCACGAGGUGAAGGUGACGACUUGUUGCUUUGUUCAAUCUUUCUAAUUCACACCUGAGCAGUUUGGUCAACGGUAUGAUCUUCAAGAUUGAUGGGCUCUUCUUCCAGUUGGUGAUUUGAUCUUUAAGGAUUUGAUUCAAGGGUGGUGAAACGGCACAUGCAGCCCACAACGCCUAGCAAGUCGACCCAAGAAUUUGAGGGUUAAAACGAGUCCUCCACCCAGAGUGAUUGCAAACCUGAUGAUAUGAGAUACUUUUGAUUUUGAAGAAGUAGCGGAUGAAUCGGCACGUGCUUUGUUGUGCUUGUCUCCACAUGCUUCAAUGUAUCAUUUUCCCUUGUCUUAUCUAUUCUUCUAGCAGAAUGUAGCAUCUUCUUAAGUUCUUCAACUCAGACUCCUUCUGCUGAGCUGACUGUGCAGGCUGCAUUAUUCUCUGCUUGUUUCUUUAGGCAGAUGUGGCAGCUUCUUGAGUUCCUCAGCUCGGACUCCUUCUGCUGAGCUGAUUGUGAAGACUGCAUUCUUAUCUGCUUGUUUCUUCUGUACGUUGUCUCCACAUGCUGCAAGGUAUCAUUUUCAAUUGCCUUAUUUGUUUUCCAGGCAAAUGUGGCAUCCGAGUUUGAGUGGAGGUUCUGGCAUAUUGUUUUCUUUAUCCUUGUCUUUGUAGGUAAGAACAAGGACAAAGGAAAGGACAGGGAGAACGCAUGAUAUGAUAUACUCUUGCUUUCUACCCUGGUGAUAUGAGAUACUUUUGCUUUGGUGUCAUUUGUUUGCAGAGGUACCCCAAGGAAUAAGAAACACUGAGUGACUCGAGAGGCUUUGUUGGGAAGGCAUUCUAGGAGAUGAAGAAAGGUUCUUGGAGAUGAAGAAAGGUUCUCGGAGAUGAAGAAAGGUUAUGUAUGUCUGCCUUGCUAUGGAGGGUAAAGGUGGACAGUUAUAGGAAAUUCUUUAGUACCUGUAGAGGUACUAUUCUUUUACUCGUGUCGGCAACCAAUGUGUGAUUGAUCAGUAUGGCUUCACGUGUUUUCUUCUUUAUCAGAAAUCUUCGACAAAUUGUCCGUAAUUUUCGUCAAGCUGAGUGUGCAUGUGACAGGUGUUGACGAGGCUGAAAAAGACUGGUGCCUCUUCGAUAUCUGGGAUCGGCGCUUCGACAAAUUGCCCGUGAUUUCCGCAAAGCUGAGUUUGCGCGUGACGGGUGCUGACGAGGCUGAAAAAGACUGGCGCCUCUUCGAUAUCUGGGAUUGGCGCUUUAACAAAUUGCCCAUGAUUUCUGCAAAGCUGAGUUUGCACGUGACGGGUGCUAACGCGUCUGGAAAAGCAAGAUGCUUCUCCGAUUUCUGAGCUUGCCUCUUUGAUUUUUGAAUUGGCCUCUUCGAAUUCUGAGCUCGCCUCUUCGAUCUUUGAAAUCCCAUCGAGUGUUGAUCUUUAUAGAGGCACGCAGUUCGUUUCAAAGCACACUUGAAUUUUCGCUUGUAGAAACUCCCUUCUUGCACUUCUAAGAUCUUGAUUUGUCCGACCUCUUCUUUCUUCAACACCUUUGAAAAUGUCUGGACCCUCCGACCGUCAUUUUGAUUUGAACCUUGGUGAAGAGGUAGUCCCGUCUUCUCCAGAUAACAUAUGACGCCCAUCUUUCAUAUCCCCUACUGGUCCUCUUACCGUUGGGGAUUCGGUGGUGAAGAAUGAUAUGACCGCUGCGGUGGUGGCCCGAAACCUUGUCACUCCCAGAGAUAACAGACUACUUUCCAAACGGUCUGAUGAGUUGGCUGUUAAGGAUUCUCUGGCUCUCAGUGUGCAGUGUGCAGGUUCUGUGUCUAAUAUGGCCCAACGCCUAUUUGCUCGAACCCGUCAAGUUGAAUCAUUGGCGGCUGAAGUGAUGAGUCUCAAACAGGAGAUAUUAGAGGGCUCAAGCAGAGAGAUAAACAGUUGCAUAAGCUCGCACAUAGCUAUGCGACAAACAUGAAGAGGAAGAUUAACCAGAUGCAGGAAUCUGAUGGUCAGAUUUUACUUGAUCAUCAGAGGUUUGUGGGUUUGUUCCAGCAGCAUUUGCCUUCGUCUUCUGGGGCUGUACCGCGUAAUGAAGCUCCAAAUGAUCAACCCUUGGCUCCUCUUCUUCCUGGAGUUCCGCCGAGUGGUGUGGCUUCAAACAGUCAACCUCCGACGCCUCUCAUUUCUGGAGCUCUGCUGAGUGGUGAGGUGGCACCUAAUCGUCCUUGAAGAUCCCCUCUUGUAAAUUUGAUUUGAUUUUUUUUUAAGUAUGUAUAAUGCAAAUUUAUGUAAAAUUUCCAGAAAAAAUAAAUAAAAACGGACUUUAUUUCUCUCAAUGCAUUUGUUUUGUUUUGUUUUUGUUUUUUUUGUUUUUUUGUUUUUGUUUUUUUUGUAAAUACAUAAUAACAUAUGUAUUUAUUUAUUUAUUCUUUUGUAAUAAAAUUGACUUUCUUUAAUAAAACUUUUAUAUUUUUCUUAUUUAUUUUGAUAUGACUGAACUCGAAAUUGAAUGUUCGAGCCGCCUACGUACCCUUCCAAAGAAGAGAUCAAGCCAUAACGUAGUUCAAAUGAGUGAUGAAUUUAAUAGUGAUUUUGAUGAUGAUUUUGCCGUACACAGUUUAUGCUCUUGUGGGCCAGGAGCUUUGGUGUUGCCUUUUAUGCUCGUGCAGACCAGGAGCGUUGAUGUCGCCUUUUAUGCUCGUGUGGGUCAGGAGCGUUGAUGUUGCCUUUUAUGCUCGUGCAGACCAGGAGCUUUGUGCCAUGCAGUUUAGACUCGUGCGGGCAAGGAGCUUUGGUUCGUGCAGUUUAGGCUCAUGCGAACAAGGAGCAUUGGUUCGUGCAGUUUAGGCUCGUGCGAACAAGGAGCAUUGGUGUUGCCUUUUAUGCUCGUGCAGACCAGGAGCUUUGUGCUAUGCAGUUUAGACUCGUGCGGGUGAGGAGAAUUUGUGAAUUUUGUCAAGCACUUUUGGAGAGGCGUUCCUUACAAUCUUCAUAGCAAGGAGCCUUGACCGAGUGAUUGAAGAAGUCUUCGGGAAAGAAGUCGCACAUCGUGAUGGCAACAGACGAUCUUUGUGUCGUAAUUUCAUCAUCUUCAACACGUUCACGUUGCUUUGAAGGUUGACAAGAGCUGCUUUGCCCCCUUUCCGAUUGGCGGACUUGUGGAGGAGACGUAUGCUUCUUGUGCCAUUUCUUAGGAGUGACUUGAGUCCAUCCUUCAAGUUUGCUUGUUUUGGAGGAUGCCCCCGGCGGUUGAGGUGAAAAUUUUGUGUUGAAAGAGCCAGAAGUGAUGGUGGUAUAGUUUGACUUCACCACAUCGUCAAGAUCUAGCUCGAUGAUUCCUUUCUGAGCCCACUUUAUGAUGAGAUCUUUCAGCACAAAGCACUUUUCUGUCGGAUGACUGAUGAAGCGGUGGAAUUUACAGUAUCUUGGACUGUUGGUACGAUUCAUCUCUUCCGGCCAUCUGCACUCAGGCAAACUGAUCACCUUCUUGUCCAACAGGUCAUCCAACAUGGCAACCACAUCAGAGUCAGGGAAUGGAUAAGUCUUCUCUUUAAGCUCCUUCAAAGUGCGUCUACGCAUCUCUUGAUCACGAAAAGCUUCGGUUUGAAUCGUUUUGCCUCGUGUGGAGAUUUUGACGGGAGAUGUGUUGACUGUCAUUGCUUCCUUGGUGGAUUUCCACGUAGCCUUCUCCACCUUUGUCUCAAGAAUUUUGUCGUUCUUGUAGUCGGCGAUCGGUUCCUUCUUCCCAUGAUGGGUGAUGCUCAACUCCAUGUCAUGGGCGUGGGUGGCCAAUUCCUCGAAGGUCCGUGGUUUAAUGCCUUGAAGGAUGUAUUGCAAACCUCAUUGCAUGCCUUGGAUGCACAUCUCGAUUGAAGAGGUCUCCGAGAGCCUAUCUUUGCAGUCGAGGCUUAGAGUGCGCCAUCUGUUGAUGUAGUCAAUGACCGGCUCAUCUUUCCAUUGCUUCAUACUUGUGAGCUCCAACAUGCUUACAGUGCGGCGGGUGUUGUAGAAGCGGUUGAGGAAUUCCCGCUCCAAUUGCUCCCAGCUGUUGAUGGACUCAGGCUCUAGGUCCGUGUACCACUCAAAUGCGUUUCUUUUCAGCGAGCGCAUAAACUGCUUGGCGAAGUAGUCCCCCUCCGUCCCCGCGUUGUUGCAAGUUUUGACGAAAUGUGCAACGUGCUGCUUUGGGUUUCCUUUUCCAUCAAACUGCAUGAACUUUGGUGGUUGAUAUCCCAUCGGCAUCUUUAGGGCAUCAAUCUUCUUUGAAUAAGGCUUUGAGUACAACCCGGAGGUAUUUGAGCUCCCUUCGUACUAUGCCUUGACGGUGCUGGCAAUCAUCUCUUGCAACUGUUGGAUAGAAAGAGAUCCCAUGAGUGCCGCUUCUUGGUCUGGCUCCGGCUUCACAUCGAUUUUCUCCACCGUAGGCUCAUCUUCUGGGUUAGGGUUCUCGCUGUCCUGUGGCUCCAGUUGACUGAUGAGUGCAGCGAUUUGCAAGUCUUUUUCUUCCACAGUUCGGGUUAGCCUUGCGAUUGCUUCAUUCAUUUGAGCCAGUUGUUCUUCGAUGGAGGUAACGCCGAUGGUCAUGACUUGUGCAACCAAUAGACGUGACUUUCCUUUAGACAUCCAAGAUGCUGAAGAAGAACGUCAUUGGUUGUUUUGGGAUGUCAUCUUGUGUGCCUCAGCAACAUGCUUUGGUGCCCCCAGCGAGGUCAGGUUGAUGACAGACUCACACCUUUGAUGCUCCCUUUGCUCUUUUAGCGGCACCAACUUUGAAGUGGCAUGUUAAGGAGCGGUUGUGGUGCUAAUGGAUUGUCCAUUUGCGGCAGAAGUGCUUAGGAUCCUUCCCUCAGUGAUUGCGAGAACGGCUUGUCCCUUGCUUGAUGCCAUUGAUUUUGAGGUGUGUUUGGAUUCCUUAAACGGAGAAAGAUAUGAGAGGUAGAGAUUGUCCCACCGGGCGUGCCAAUUUGUGAACACGAAAAUUUCCUGAAACGAAAGAGACAAGAACAACGUGCACAAAAUAAUAUUUUGGUGUUAAUGGAUUUGUUGGGUUACGAUCUCUUUUAACUUGAUCCUCUGAUUCGAUCUCCGUAAGGUGUUGAUUUAUGGAUGUUUCGUUGAUCUAAGGGCCGUCGAGGCUUGAUCUUGGAUGAACUGUUGGAAGUUUCUUCAAGGGGCCGUGGGCUUGAUCUUUGAAGGUGGAUUUGAGCGGAUCUUCAAGGAGCCGUUGGGGCUUGAUCUUGAGGAUGAGUGUUUCUUCAAGGGCCGUUAAGGCUUGAUCUUGAAUAACGGUGAUGAACGGAUCUUCAAGGGCUUUUGGGCUUGAUCUUGAAGAACGGUUGGAUGUGUGGAUUUGUUGAUGUUGUUGAUCCAAGGGCCGUCGGGGCUUGAUCUUGGAAGAACGAUGAACGAAGAACGAAGAACACUUUCUUCAAAGGCCGUCGGGGCUUGAUCUUGAAUUGGUGAUUGUUGAUCCAAGGGCCGUCGGGGCUUGAUCUUGGAAGAACGGUGAACGAAGAAUGAAGAACGAAGAACACUUUCUUCAAGGGCCGUCGGGGCUUGAUCUUGAAUUGGUGAUUGUUAAUCAAAGGGCCGUCGGGGCUUGAUCUUGGAAGAACGAUGAACGAAGAACGAAGAAGGCUUUCUUGAUUCUUCGGGAUGAACGGAUGAUGAACAAUGAACACUUUCUUCAAGGGCCAUCGGGGCUUGAUCUUGAAUUGGUGGAAGUUCUUCAGGGCCUUUGGGGCUUGAUCUUGAAGGUGGAUGAUUGUUGAUCCAAGGGCCGUCGGGGCUUGAUCUUGGGAUGAACAGUUGUGUGGAUUUGUUGAACACUUUCUUCAAGGGCCGUCGAUGCUUGAUCUUGAAUUGGUGGAAGUUCGUCAAGGGCCGUUGGGGCUUGAUCUUGAAGAAGGAUUUGACGAAGAACGAAGAGAGCUUUCUUGAUCCUUCGGAAUUUGCUUGAAUUUGGGAGGUUGGAUGCUUGAAAGCUUUAGAGUUUCAAAGCUUCAAGGAUUUUGGAUGUGUGGGGAGUAUUCUCUUACAUUUUGGGAGUAGAGAAAUGUAUUUGUGAAUUGGUUUUUGAUACCUUGAUGUAGAAGCCUAUUUAUAGGCUUUGAGAAUGAAUCACCACCACAAAAUAUUUUUUUCUUUUCCAAGCACCAUUGCCUAAUUUCCCACUUAAUACAAUUUUAAACUUGAAGUGGUAAUUUUAUGGCCUAAUUUUCCACUUAAUAUCAUUUUAAACUUGAUAUGUGCAUGCUUUGUCAUUGCCCAAAAUGAGAAGAAAACCUUGUUUUGAUCUUCAAUGGAUUGAAAUGUGCUUUGCCUUGUCAUUGCCCAAAAUGAGAAGAAAAACUUGUGUAAUCCUCCAAGGGUAUUUCUUUUUAUUUUGUUGAGUCACACACCAUGUGUACAAUUUGUAUGACACGUGGCAUAUGCCAUAUAUGCCUUGACACGUCAAAAUUUUAAUGCGUUGGUGAACAUUUAUUUCACCGCAAUUUCGAUGUCUACAAUUUCAUUUCUUGUGAAUAAUGUUUAUCCUGUGUUCUGUCCAAUCGCGUAUUAAAAAAUGUGUGAAGUUUGGAUUAACCACACUCUUUUAGAAUUUCCUUUAUUUACCACUUUUUGAGAAUUUCCAAUAAGACUGGGUGAGUCUCCGCUGAGAAUUUCCUCAACUAACACCACACUACUUGAGGGAUAAUUUGUUAUAUCUUUGAAUAAAGAAUAAAACAGUUUCCUACUUUUGAAGGUACUAUUAACUUACACUAUAUUUGGAUGAAGGUCAAACUUUAUAAAUUGACAUACACCAAAUUCUUUGUUUGGAUUCAUAAACAUAUAAAUUUAGAAUUUCCGCGUGGAAAAAAAAAAUACUUAGAAUUUGAGACCUCCAAUUCUCAAAUUGAAAGUUUAAAAAUAAUAAAUUCCGUAUUCAAUUCAAUUGUUCUUUUAGGUUAACCAAAUAAGAAAAUUCACAAAUUCUAAAAUAUAAAAUCUCAUCAUUUCAAUUUCCGUCAUUUUAAAAUUCCUUAGUAAUAUUAAAUUUCUUCAUCCAAACAUAGUGUUAAGAAAUUUUUUAAAGAUACACUAUUUACACUCAUUUUUAUUUCUUACACAUUUAUUAACUUUGUCCAUUGAUUUCUUCAAUUCAUUUUGCCAGUUAUACAAAAAUUGAGAACAGUAUUUAUGAAUUAAAAAUACAUUUGUAGAUGUCACUACCAAAUUUUUAUUCCUAAUUCAAGAAAAUCUUAUCCAUAUAUGAUUGCCCUUGCCCACUUUAAAUGGGUGCCAUCACUUUACGAUAGAGCAAUCCUAACCGUCCACCUAGGUAAGCAUAACUGGCGAUGCAUGUCGCAAGGGGACCGCAUUGCACAAUAUAAUUAUACUAGUUGAUAAGACAAGUGAUGUCAAUCAAUAAAUUAUUUCAUUAAAACUUAGUUGUAUGUAUCAUAUGUUGUAAUGUAGGGUGUAUGAUAUGCUGACGCUGUAAAAAAAUGUAACCUUUUUAAUAUUACUCAUAAUAGUAAGACUUACCAGUAUUAGGAUGUUAUCAGUGGAAUGAGAAUCCUCUCCAGAUCUUUUUUGUGAGCUAUUAUUUGUAUUUAAUUUUAAAUAUAAAAAAUUAAAAUAAUUUAUGACGGCAGUGAUUCACAUGAUCUUCACAAAGAGAAUCCAAAUAAUCUUAAUUUAUAUCAGUGUGUCUAGAUAACAUGAUCGAGCCCCUUUACUUUUACCCUAUUUAGUAUUUUACAUUUGAACCUGUAAAUAUUCGAUUUUUCUUUGGUGCAACCGAGCACCAAAUAUAGAUUUUUUUUCACUUUUAUAUAAUGAUAAAUAAAGGGCAAUUGGCAGAUUUGAAUUCCAUUCGGAUUGGUCAAAAAUCAUUUUAAAUUGUUUUAUUUAAAAUUAAACACAUAUAGUACUUAAUAAAAAUUAGUCGUACAAUAUACGAUAAACAGAUAUAAUGUAAGGACCUUUAUGAUCUUCACAAAAAAGAUCCAAAGGUUGUGUAGCUGUUUCAAAAGGAUAAUACUCACUUUUGAUUAGUUCAAUGAAAUUUUAAACAUGUUUUAUUGUUUUAAAAAAUAAUAAACAUAUUUAUUAAUGUUUGUUUUACUUUAAAAAAUAAGCAGCACUUGACAACAUUUGAUUGUGCUAAAUAAAAAAUGAGUGACCACUUAGUACUACAGUCUUAUGAUAUUUUUCUUCAUUUGAAAGUGAGAGGUUUUAAGUUCGAAUCUCGUGGAUGACGAAUUUGAUAUCAAAUUAGAUUGCUCACUAUGUGGCUUAGCCGAACUCUCAUUUCCUUUAAUGUAAAAAUAUUGAUGUAUUCAAAAAAAUAAAAAGUGACUAUAGAGGACACUCAAUCUCAGCUGUAUGAUUAAAUCAGACGGUAAGAAAAAUUCUGCAAGCAUACUCGGUUACAUUAAUUGAAGAAAAAAUGGGUAAAUAUUGGGCACCAACGUUAUAAAUACCCUCCACCAUGCACCCAACUCCCUCACACCAUCACAACCCACGUUACAAAUCCUCCUCCUCAUCAUAACCAUUCUGUUUUCCGCAUAAUAUCCAAAAACCUAUCAUGUCUGAAGAGAAACACCACCGCGGUCUCUUCCACCACCACAAGGAUGAAGACAAACCCUCAGACUACCCUCAGUCUGGCUACUCUGAUGAAGGACGUCCCGGCGGCCUCGGUGGUGGUUACGGCGACACCAAUGAUUAUUCUGGUGAAGGACGUACCGGCGGCCUAGGUGGUGGCUAUGGCGACACCAAUGCUUAUUCUGGUGAAGGACGUCCCGGCGGCUAUGGCGGCUAUAACGAGACCACUGCUUACUCUGAGGAAAGAGUUGAAAGACCCGGCGGUGGCCGGUACAGUGAGACUACUGCGGCAUAUGGCAGCACCACCACUCAUGAAUCUGAACUUGAUUACAAGAAGGAGGAGAAGCACCACAAGCAUCUCGAGCACCUCGGCGAGGCCGGUGUAGCUGCUGCCGGCGCUUUUGCCUUGGUACGUAUUGUAUUUUAACCCACCUCUAUAUAUAUAUAUAUUAGAAUAAUGCUAAUAAGACCAAAUUUUGAAAACUAAAUGAUGUGGUUGUUGAUAAUGAACUUAUUACUCAAGUCUUGAUUAACAUGCUUAUUUUCUAAUAGUGACACAUUAUUUGGUUUAGAAAUUUGGUCUUCCUAACUUUAUCAUUCUCAAAAUUUUCAUGAUUUUGAUAGGGUAAUACGGGAGAUCAAAAUUUCUAAACCAAAUUUGCAAACCAAUAGAUGAUUGGAUUAUUAAUUAAGUAUCGAUUGUUUGUUUCUUAUUAACGACAUAUCAUUUGAUUUACAAUUUAGUUAAAAAAAAUUUAUUCUUUCUGUCAUAUCCUUUUGAAUAUUUGAUCACUUUACUCUUUAUCACUUUACCCUUGAUCACUUUACCCAUACUCUUGCAACCGAAUCACCGUCCUCCUCCUUAACCUUCAUUUUUUUGUCUUACAGUACUCCAAUCUAUCAACUCUGUCCAUUGCAACUUUAAUUGUGAAGAAAAUUAAAGUCCUAUCGUAAAAUUAAUUAGUGAUAUGGAGAGUUGCGCAAUUAUUGAUGGACUAGGUAGGUAAGAUACGGAAUCAAAGUCUACCAUUAACAAUGGACGGAAUUGAUGAACCAUAUAGGUAUGUAAGAUACGGAAUCAAAGUCCUCAUGUAAAUGGUACAGUUGCAAUCAGGAGAAGAAAUGAGUUAACUGAUACCUUCGUAAUAGUUCAUGUAGAGUUUUGAUAUUAUUAAGCCUUAACCACCUGAUCUUAUAUAUACGAGGACAAAUCUAAUCAAAUAUGUGUUAAUUUCAAGGUUUGUUUUACAUUGAUGUGAGAUCGAUGCUAGCAAGAUAUAUAACUUAUGUCAGUUUCUAUAUGAUGUGUGUAGCAUGAGAAGCACAAUGAAAAGAAAGACCCAGAGCAUGCCCACAGGCACAAGAUAGAAGAGGAGAUUGCUGCAGCAGCUGCAGUUGGUUCGGGUGGAUUUGCCUUCCAUGAGCAUCAUGAGAAGAAAGAGACAAAGGAAGAAGAGGAAGAGGCUUAUGGAAAGAAGAAGCACCACCACUUCUAGAUCUAUGUGGAUUGUGGAACAUCAUCUUUUGACUACAUAUGCAAUGUUGUGUUUUUACUAGUUAUCAUGUGGUGUGAUCAGUGAGAGUGUGAUGCUUAAUCUCAACAAUAUCGCUACAAUAGUUGAGUGGUUAAAUGUCCUUUUCAAUUAAUGGGUGCUAUCUGGUUUUCUUUUAGCAUGCCAUCUAUGUAUGUAUGUAUGUAUGUAUGUCAUUGUUAUUGUUCAUAAUAAUACUGUUUACUCGGUGUUUAUUUCCUAGUGGCCACAUCUCAUUUUAAAUGAUUUCUUCAUACCAUUAAUUUUUUAAAUGUAAAGACUCAGUAUCCAUAUAACUACGAAAAUUUUUGACAAAACAAAAACAAGAAAAAAGAAAAGGAAAAAAUGGCUUAGCAAGUUUGUAUCCUAUAAGACAAAUGGGUACGUGGAACGAUGGACAUCUCACAAUGGUUUUUGAAUCGUCGGAUCAUCAUGGUUGGACUAUAUAAUUAUCAUUGAUAUAAUAUAAAUUUUGAUUUUUUUUUAGGAAAUUAAUAUCUGAAAACAAUAUUGAUGUACUGCAUUUGUUUUGGACGAUAUUAUACUUUAAUCCAAAUUUUGAGAAAAAAAAAACAUAUCGAACUCAGGUGUACAAGAGUGGCUUUGCUACCCAUGUACAGGGCUAGUUCUGAGUUUUUGGGUGCCCAGUGCGAAAGCUCAAAAUGUGACAUUUUUUAAUACGAAAACAUAUAUUAAAAAAAAUAUUUAAUGAGGGCUGGAACCCAGUCGAAGCUGGAGGGCUAGGACCUCACGCCCAAAUUAUAUUACUUGAGAAAAUAUACAACUGAGGAGGGGACAUGGUACCUAAACCCCGACAAUCAAAAGUACAAUCAUAUACAACCACUCCUAGCAAAUCUCCUUCAAAUUUCAACCUUUAAGAAAUUGUCUUCUGGCAUUUUUUGAAGCAAAAUCAUCAAUUAUAUCAUCAUACUCCAAGUCUUCAAUCUCAUCAUUUUCAAUGCAUAAGAUUGCUAAUCCAUUUAGCCUAUCUUGAGUCAUAGUGGUCCGCAAGUAAGAUUUUAAUAAUUUCAAUUUUGAAAAACUUCUUUUUGCAGAUGCCAUGGUCACAAGUACAGUUAACAGUACACGAUAAGCAAUCAAGACAUUAGGACACAUGUCAGUUUCUUUUACAAAAUUUGCUAUUUCCAUGGAUGUCCAAGGGUUAUUAGAGAGAAAUGCUUCUUCAGGUAAUAUCAUUUGCAAAACCUGCAAUUCGGAAUAUAAGUCAACUCCAUCUACAUCCAUGGUAUUUCCAUGUUUCAAAUGUGCUUCAAGAUUCAUACAAUUUUCUUUUAGCUCUUGAUCAUCCAAUGAAAUUAACUUUGGUGCAUCAAACAAGAAGCCAAAAAUAGAUUCAAAGGAUUUUAACUGUUCAAACUUGUGUUUCAGUUGAGAAAGAGCAAUAUCCACUAUAACAAGAAAAUAAUAUUUCCUAAAUGAUUCUUUAGCAGAUUAUUGUUCCCUCUCAUUACCAUCAACUUCAUCAUGAUGUCUUUUUCUAGGUCUAUGACAUUUAGUUUGAAAAAACAGGGUCAAUUUCCAAAUCAAGUGCAAUUUCAUUAGCAUCACUCAUGGCGGAAGCAAAACCAGUUUCUCUGUAGUUUCCAAAAAAUGUAACAAAUGCUUCAAAUGCCUUUACAGCAACAUCAAGACGCAUGUCUUUAGAUUGUAAUUUUAUGCUCACCAUGUUAAUCUUCAACAAAAUGUCAUACUAAAUAACCAAACUUAAUACAAAAUCAAAACUUGAAAGUUCGCCUGAUGCUAAACAUCUUGCAUCCCUACUUAAUUGAGGAUUUUCAGUAAUUUCCACCAAUUAAACAAAGCAUUUCUAACCUGGGCUACUUGAGACUUAAUUGCUUUAACAUUUUCAAUGUGACUUUCCCAUCGAGUAGUUGACAAUGACUUCAAAGUUAAACCAUCAAUAUGUUCAACCAAAAUAUUCCAACGCUUUGUAGAGUUGGAAAACACCAUAUAUAUGCAUUGACAUGCUCUAAAAAAAGAUUUUGCUUUAAGACAUGAACUUGCCAUAUCACAAACUAUUAAAUUAAGCUAAUGAAAACCACAUGGCAUGUAAAAGGCUAUGGGAUUUAUGUCUAACAAUCUUUUCUGGACAACUUGGUGUUUCCCUCUCAUGUUAGAUCCAUUAUCAUAACCCUGUCCCCUCAUAUCAUCAAUAUCAAGGUCUAAAAUAUCGAUAUUAUCCCGAUAUUUCUUUCGAAAUUUCUGUGUUUUUGGAUUACCGAUAUUUCCGAUAUCAUCGAUAUUUUAGACCUUGAUAGGAACUCUAUGUGAUACUAAGUCACUCAUGUAUCUUACCAUGCAAUGUAUAAAGUGUAAAAUAUUGUAUUAAUUCAUUAUAUAUAAAUGAUUAUGGUGUGUUUAACUUCUUUCAUUAAUUACUACAUAUUUUCUACACUCAAAAUGUUUGUCAGCUCACUAUAUAAUCAACUUAAAUAAGUUAAAUCCAUCAUGAAAUGCAUUUCGUUCCAAUUUUUUGUAAUAAACUAGUAGAUAAUUGACUAAAUAAACAUCCUGCAAAGUUUCAAUAAAAAUUUCCAAGUUUUUCUUAUAAUUUCCGUGGUUUUUAUUCAAUUUUUAUCGAUAUCGAUAAUAUCCCGAUAUUUCCAUCAAAAUUUCCGUAUUUUUGGACUAUCAAUAUUUUCGAUAUCAUUGAUAUUUUAGACCUUGAUCAAUAUCAAGAUCAAGAGAUUUUAGGACAUCUUGCAGCUCGUUAAAAAGCCCUUGUCCUAAUGUAUCUUUCACACUUAAAAACUCCAUGAAAUACUCCCUUAUAUUUAUUGACCUACUUGACAAGUCAACACAUCACAAAAUUAAAGUCAUCUGUUCCACAUGACUUGCAUUAGGAGUACAAUCAAGAAUGACAAAAAAAAAUUUGGCUUCUUUUACUUUUUUAAUGAUUGCGGUUUUGACUUUUGAAGCUAAAGUAGCUAUCAACUCAUUUUUGUUGGAAAUGUGCCCUAAAACCAAUCAUAUGAUGAUACUUUACGAACGUUUCACAUGUUAAACUAAUAUAGUUUAAUAUAAAGGGCAAAAAUUAUUGUUUGUAGCCGUCUCAUAUAAAUGUUAUACGCUUAAACGAUAAGUCCAAGGAAUAUGUAAUUGGGAGAAUGCGAUCUAAAGAAGUUAGAUUCAUGAGACCAUUCUCUUCCGUAUACAUAUCCUAAACGUUACUGAUCAUAGGAUUGUCAAUUGGGCAUUGAUAGUCUGUUAAGAUCAGUACGUGUUAUGUCUUCUCUUAAGGAGAGUGACUGGUCUCGAGUCAUUGGUGUGACUGACACCAAGACAAGCAUGUAGGUGCUCAAUAGAGAAUGAGUCCACUGAACACGAUCAACAAGGAGUUCUCAUACUCAUGUCACAUGAGAACUCGUGGUUGGAAUAAUGCAAAGUAGUCAUUUGACCUGAGGCAUCAUAGUUGUCUUGUGGUUAGGUCCUUGAUCUUUGACUAUGUCAAAGUCACUCCGUCAGAGGGUGUCCAUUGCAUAGUUGGGGUUAAGCCACUUAGCCAUGGAGGCAAGUGAAUGCACAAUAAGGGAUCUCUAACCUUCAAACUAUUUGAGGGAGAAUACUCUAUGAUAUGAUUAAGAAUCUCUGGCCAGAGUAUGAAUGAUAUUUAAGAAGUCGUUCCAAAUCACAUUCAAGGUAAUCAUAUAAGUAAGAGAAUCACAUUGGAUAGUAGACAUGAAUAAACUAUCAAACCAAACAAUGUGGUCAAGAGUAUUGUAUUAGAGUAAGACCGUAUUGCAUUGUAAUCCUAAACUAAAUAGGUUCUCCACCUCUUCUGAUCAGCUUGGGUAACCAUGACAUACUGCUAGGUGUUACUCAUGAUUUGUGGAAGCCCUAAACGUGUAUAAUCACUAAAGGGAGAAUUGAAAGUAAGUUUCAAUUUACAAUCGAUUUGAAAGAGUUCUAAUCGCUCACUGCCUCGCUAAAAGGAACCUAAUGGAUCGUACACCGUGUAAGGUAGAGAUUGAAAAAACAACGGAGAUAAGUAAGGACAAUUAAAUGGUUUAAUUGUUUAUGACAAGAAUUAAUUAAUAUGUUAAUUAAUCAAACGAAUAAGUUCGGGUUAAACCUUGAGUUAGUUUUGGGCAUUAAAGCCCAAAUUGGGCUUCGAAUCUUCAAACCCAUUAGCUUAAGUUGUAUGACAACUUAACAAACAAAAUUCAAGAAGCCCAAAACAGCCCAAAGGCUUGGGAAAACCAGCCAUAUAGAGAGGGGUAGUGAACUUGGCUUAAUUGCAAGUUUGCCAUUCCAUUGUGAGGUGGUAUAAAGGCAACUUUAUAGCCAUUUCAUCCUUAGGGUUUCUUUUGGAGAAAAGAUGAGAACACAAGCUCCCUUUUCUCUCUAAGAGGCUGGCCACCCUAGAGGAUUUUAGCUAGCAAUCUUACUUCCUCUAGGUCACUCAUCUCUUCUUCAAGUCAUUCCUUGGUGUGGAGACUUAGAGGUUCCUUUCAACCAUCUUCAUCCAAGAAAUCCAUGGAGCUAAGAAGCAAGGAAUGAAGGCCCUCGCCUUGGGUGAUUAGCCUUUGCUUAUGCAAAGAGGAAUCAACAAAGGUAUAAAAUUUCUCAACUCACUUUGUUCUUGAGUUGAGUCUUGGUUCACAUAACUACUAGGCUUUGAAUUUCAUGGGUAAUGUUUUGUUUUGAGUGCAUACAAGCAUGAUUCCGCCUUUAAUUGUUAAUUGCAUGCCAUAGAUGUUGCUCAAAUGAACAUGUUUCUCACAAAAUUUCCUUCAAUUUUGAAUUUUAUGGCUCAAAUAGUGAUGAUGAAUCUCUUUAUUCUCAAUAAGUCGAAAAUGCUAUUGCAUUAUUGGAUCAAACUCCGCAUUCAUUUCAAGUAAACCUAAGAAGUUGCCAUUAGAGUCUUCAUAAAGUCUUUCAUUUGUUCCACGAAAUGCUAAAUUACGUAUGGCAAGACAUUUCAUAACAUCAAUAAUUCUAAGCAUCACUUGUUUCCAAUGAUUUGGCUCUUUCUUGAUUUGCAUUUGAAAUUCUUUGUCAAUUGUCUGAUUUUUUGUCAAUCUACUUUUCAACUCAACCCAAGUUCUCGAAUUAAUGAGAUGCUCUUUACUCUUUUCAUAUUGGUCAAGCUUCUUACCAAGAUGUCUCCAAUCACUAGUUCCAUCUUUUGCUAACUCACUUUUUGAGGCAAUUAUUUUAAACAAUUUACAACAAAAGCAAAAGACUUUAUCCAACUCUUUUGAGUACACGAGCCAUUUCCUAUCGUAAAUUUUACCCGUUCGUAAUUUUCGAUCAUAGUAGUGUGAGGAAAAUUUUCUAGAGAAUUUGUCCUUAGGAUAAGUGAAUUAGUUUCUCAAAUUGGUCCUUUUUCUACAAGUAAGUCUCUCAUUUUUGCAUUAAGACCAUCCCAAACUAUUGGAUCAUAAAUGUCUAAAUGAAAAAUAGGUUCAAGAGAUUCAAUAUUUUCUUCUACACCAAAAUGAUCAUCAUCAACAUUUAAAUCCACAUCACCACCAUUUUCAUGAUCUUGAGACUCAUCACCAACAUUUUCCUCUAAAUCACCACAAUUUUCUUGGUCAUGAGACUCGUCAUUAACAUCUUUCUCCACAUAACCACAAAUUUCAUCAUCAUGAGACUCCCCAACAAUAUUUUGUGACUCUUCACCAACAUCAUUUUCUCUCAAAUUUUCAACCGACUCAUUCUUUAUAGAAUUUUUUUUAUUAAGAGAUCCUCUUAAACUUUAGGCAAUUUCGUUAUCCUUUGCCUUUUUUUUCCUUUUCAUAUUACUAGAGAGUUAUUUUCUAAAAGACAUGGCUUUGAUAAUUUGUUUGCAAAAAUUACCUACAUAUGAUAUAACAAAAAUUUCCUAUUAAAAUUAUCAUCAACAAUUCAAAAAUUACCUACACAUGAUAAUCAAGAAUUCAAUUCAUCAACAACAACAAUUCUAUACAUCAAUUAUCAUAUAAUUCUGUCACUUGCAAAAUUUAUAUUAAAUUAUGAAUUAAUAAUUCAAAUUAAAAAAUUAGUUUACCUCAAAACUCAAAAGGGUUGUUGAAUGCAAGGACUUGUGGGCCUGUGGCUGUCGGGUUUGGAAGCUGUAGCCUGCAGCAGCGCAACAAAUUAUCAGACGGUAAGGGCUAGGGCAGUGGGGUAACAAUGGGGUGGGGAAUCGGGAAAAAGGGGAACUUAGGGUUAAUUGGGGGGGGGGGGGGCGGGGACGAGUGGUCCCCUUGUGUUGUUAUUUUUUAUUUUUUUAAUGGCCAAAACCUGGGCUGGUCUUUUUUUUUUAAUUUUUUUAUUAUUUAUAAAUGCCCAAAACCUGGGCCGUUCCCUUCAUUUUCAAACUUGGGCCUCUUGCCCUCUAGUUCUUAUUUUGGGCUCUGGACAAAUUUUUUUUAUACCUAAUUAUUUGGACUUUUUUUUUGGUGCCCCUUUCAAUUUUGGGCCUUGGAAUGGCCCUGGUUGCACUGGGCCUGGGCCGGGCCUGCCCAUGUAUAUGUUAUCUUGUGAUUUGACAAGUCAUAUGUAUAUCAUAUCAAUUUUAUCUCAAUUGUGGUGAUGGUACAUAAUACUUACUACAUCGUAUGGCAACAAAUAAAUAUGGGCAUAAAGAUAAAUAGAAUGGUAUCAGUAAAUUAAGGUCUUCACAUUACGAUUAUAUUUAUCUCUAUUUUUAGUGGAAAGUUUUAAGGAUAAUUUUUUUUCUGCCUCCUACAUGGGUCUCGAUUCUCCUCUACGGUAAAAAUCCGUAUGUUUUAAAUAUUGAAAAGUUAAUUUAGCCCAAAUCCUUGCCUAUUUUAGGGAAAAUAAAAAAAAUUCAUUUUUAACCCUUUGAUUACUUAUAUCACCUAGUAUAACCUUUUUUUUUGUGUGAUACAAACAAAUAUUUUUGUUUGGGCCCAAAAUAUUAUUUUAGGCUGAGCUUAGGUCAUUCUCGGCCUAGUGGCAUUCAUUUAGAAUUUUGUUAUGGGCCGUCCAGUUAAGGUCAGCCGAAUCCUAUUAUGAAAAGGUUUGGUUUGGAUAAGGGUGAGUUGGUCGAUACUAGUGCAACAAGGAUUCUGAAGACUAAGGACAUUGAGAAUUAAAGGGUGAAUUUGGUUUGUUAAGAAGCUUGGUUCAAAGUCCUACAGGAAUUAGGAUUGGUUGAAACCUGAUCGGAUUGGGUUGAGGAGUUCUAAUCCUAGUCCAUUUCUAGUUCGGCUAUGAGGGGAUUCAUUAUUAUAAAUAGAGAAGGGAGUGCAUCAUUCAAAGCCCCUCCAAUUCAACACACAAAUUGCCUUGUGCAAAGCUUCUCAACAACCUUUGAGAUUUUAUCCACUUCCUCUUUCUUUUGCCAACACAUCUUCAGUUUGGAUAAAUAGCACUGUGAAGGCAACCGUCGACAUCUUCAGUUUGGAUAGACUGCACUAGAGCCGUAAAAUUAGCCGACCAAGGAGCACCUUUAGUUUGGAUGGACAACACUGCUUUGAGGCCGACUGGCUAUUUAUUCAAGUCUCGGCUGAGAAGGAUUUUCAAAUCCUUGUUGGUAGAGGUCAUCUCGUCAGCCUUCUCGGCAAAGUGAGGUGUUACAGGUUUCUGGGCUCGGCACAUUGAACGUUGAGUUUUGUUUUAUGAUUAGAUACUCACAAGUAAGUUUUAGAGUUUGGCAUUCCGAUGGCCGAAUCACAUUUACAAUCAAGAUAUAUAUUUCUUUCGAGUAUUUGUGUCUGUAUAGUUUGGUACCAGUUCGGCAUGCUUAUACUCUCACGAAUAUAAUCACUAUGAUCGAACCUGAUGCCGAUGAUUUGUGAACUUCAUAGAACUAGCAACCUUGUCUUCAGGCAUUAUAAUCCAAAGGCCGAGACAUGUUCCUUCAUCGAUCGCAGUCGUAAGAUCGAGAAGUCAGCAGCGCGCCCAACGAGACAUCAACACAUUCUAUUCCUCGACCGAGUUGGCACGCCCUGCACAUAACUGAAGGACGUAGUUAGCUUAUUAGUUACUCAGCCUAUGCGUCACGUAGGCUUCAUAGUUUUUAGUGUCAACAUUUUGGCAUGCCCAGUGGAACCCAGUGUUAAAGCUACGAAGUUCAUGACCAUUGAGACACGGUCAGUAAAAAAGAAACCAGUAAUGGGAAAGUUGACAACUAAUCUUCCAGUCUAAAACUCAUGACAAGAUGGGUUGUUAUAGACACAGAUUCAUGCUGCUGCCAUGACACCUGAAGCCACAAGUGCGACAUGCCGAGAAAAGGAAGUGAAUCUUGGCAAUCAGCCUUGUGGUGCAGAAAUCCCCACCAAAACGACAAAAGGCAUUUUUGUUGAAGGAAUAGUGGAUGAUUAUGACGAGGACGGUGGUAAGGCCUCUGAUCCACCAACCAGGUCGUUUUUUCGACGACGACUUGAAGAGUAAUCUUGACAACUUGAGCAGAUGUUCAGCCGAGAGAUAAAAAAACAUAUUUAAAGAAAUGCGUGAUAAUAUCGCUGUACAUAAUUUAUUGCUCGAAGUUCUGGUUAGUAAAGUCCAUGACAUUGGACCCACCAAUCGAUCCAGGCAUCAUUUUUUCAGGAAUAACCCACUACCAAUAGUACAGGUCGAGACAUAAUCCACUUGGCUCAAAAUGAUUAACUUACAGAAAAGUGGUGGGUUAAUCAGCAGAUCAAACGGAUUCGACCAGAGAGCGGAAACGACAUAUGUUGAUAUGGUUGAAGUUUAGAGAAUGAUUGAUUCGGCCUUGAAAAAUGGGCCAAAGUUUCCAAAAUUCAUUCACCCAUAUCCUGCCUUUGUAGAAAAGUUUGAGUACCCAAAGGGGUUCAAGAUCUCUGACUUCAGCCUUUUCGUUGAAGAGUCGUCCCUAUUGUCAUUAAACACGUGGCUCAAUUCACUGCUCAAUGUGGGGACGUUAACAGUGAUUUCCAUAAGCUACGAUUGUUCAAUUUCUCGUUAACCAGCUCAGCAUUCGCAUAUUAUAUCAACCUCUCACCCAACUCUAUCCAAAGUCAGGAGGAACUGGUCGAGAAAUUUCAUGAGCAAUUCUAUCGACUGGGGAUGGACGUAUUAGUAUCUUCUUGGGCUAGGAUGGCUCAAGCCUCUGAUGAGUCACCAAUGGAAUACUUUACAAGGUUUAAGUUGGCCAGAAAUUGGUGUCGAGUACCUCUUCCUGAAGUCGAGUAGGCUUGCCCUGAAUGGCUUAGACGUGGAGUACAAGAAGAAAUUCUUAAGGGCAUACUUUCGAGAUAUGUACGAAUUGGCUCAGCAUGUCGAGCAAUAUGAUUAUUUUCUCUGAGAGGAAAAGAUCUCGAAGUUUUCAUCCCGAGGAACGAUCUACAAGAACUUUACGGUUAGCUAUGCAUCGGCCAAAGGCGAGGAGUCCCAAUAUGCUAGUAUAGACGUGGCCAAGAUAUUAAUCGACAAACUGUACAUAUGUAAAACAUUGGCUCAUGCUACCUGUUCAGCCUUUGAGGAAGCUGCCGUCAAAACGUUAAAAGUCUAUACUUUCGACAUCACUAAGGCUGAUGCCAUCUUUGACCAGUUAUUGCUUGCAAAAAUUGUCAAGCUUCAGCCAGGGCAUAAUAUUCCAAAGGUCAAGGACUUAAAAGGAAAGACAUAUUACAAAUACCACAACUCGAACAAGCAUACGACAAACAACUGUGUCGUAUUUCGCGAUGCCAUUCGAAACUGGAUAGAUAACGGUAAGCUUAAAUUUCCUGAGAAACCAAUGGUCAUUGACACCAAUCCUUUCCCUAUGACAACGGUAAGCAUGGUAGAUGCUCACCUACACAAGGAUAAGAGAAAAGGAAAAGCCGAGUUCAUCCCAACGCAAUACGUCCCUAAGCAGAAUUCUCGAUCACAAUUGAAAGUCAAUCUAUCCUUGGGUGAGCCACCCAGAUACUUUUCAAACCCAACUAAUACCGAGUCAAUAUCAAACUCCAGCACGGGAGAAAGUGACAUGCCAAUGGUUUUAUGCAGUUGGUGUAAAUCAAACGUCAUCAUAACUAAGCUGAAGGAAAAGCCACUUCGGACUGAAGCACCACUAACGCCUGUAGUUGUAGCAACACCUCAAAAAGUGCUUGGUACAGACCAACACCAUAAAGUUUUUGAUAGGCUCAGCCCUCAAACACGGAAUGACGGCCCGUCUUCGGCCCGAUAAUGACUUAAUUUCGACGUUUCGUUUUAUAAUGAAGAGUAUUAUGUGUGCAACUCCAGCAACUCGAGUUCAUCCGCGAACCAAAGAAACUUCAAGUCACCUGAGCCAUGCGACUAGUGUUGGUAUACCUACAAUUCCCUACCGAUGUAUAUAUUGCAUUGUCCAAAUCGUAGAAACAUCAGCGCCAAAUAAUGGACUAUAUGGCUCGCCAAUGAGCAGCCCAGACUACCUCGGUCACCAAGUGGCAACUGAAAGAAACGGUAGAUAACGAAGAUGAUUGACAACCUUCGGCCAUCAUGGUUGAGUUGCUUCAAGGAAAGAAAGUGAUCGAUCGUGACUUUGAAACCAUGAUUGAAGAAUCUGAAAAGUGAAUCAAACUCUUUCUUCGGCCUAGGGAGAUGAAAGCUUGCCUCGAGCACUUUCGGAAAGAAGUUGAAAACAAACUUCCUUUACUACCCUCGCAAGAGCCAUUAAUUAAAGUUCGAAGGAAUCUUCACCCGCCAUUUCUUAACAAAGCUUUAGAAUACAUGCAAGAGUUCCAUAUAAAAACAUUCAGCUAAUGGUUAAUAUUGCAUGCCAAAAGCAUGCCAAGAGGCUCUUGAUCUAGUAUUAACUUGCCCCGAUGCCGAACAAAUCAUCCAAAAGACCAUGGAUCAGAGGAUGAAGGCUAGAAUCCAGCAUAUACUCGAGGCUUGAGUUCUCUACUUUGAGGUAGACCCAUAUACUGAUAUCGAUCCAACCGACCUUCCUUUCUCCCUUAAGGACCUCCAAUAUUUACUGUAUCAUUUUGAAAUUUUCUCGGCAGUUGCCCUCUUUAAUCUUACGACUGAUGAGAAAGAACGUAUGGCGUGAUUAGAUGCUUACUUAGACACAAGAGACGCCCGCAUCGUAUAUCAGGAGCGGACUCACAAGGCUUCACAAGAGCAACACCAAGUCCCCACGUUGAGCGAGCCUAAAGUUGAUGGUCAGAACGAAAUGGGUUUGGUGGAUGCACUGUAGGGACGGGUUCUCUUAGCUGCCGGAGAGGAUCAGCCAGAUAAUGCCCAUAAGCAAAAUACUUCGCCUGAAAAUCUAGAAGACAAAGAUCACGACCCAAUGGGUUCUUCGGUCCUUGAUAACACGGAAAUCAACAUGGUCCAUGUCUUACCUGCCGAGUUCUAGCUAAUUACAUCUCAACCAAACUUUAUGGACGACGUCAAAGUCGCCGAGGAAGCCGCACAAGUCGAUUUUUUGGCCACCGAAGAGAUCGAGCAAGUAAGCAAAGAAGAUAAACUUAAGGCAGCUCUUGCCAAUUUGUUCCCCCGCUAUUCGUCAGUUAAUUUUCAUCAUUUAAAGCCAUUGUAUGUUAUAGCUCGUAUUGAAGGAUAUCUGGUUUCUAAAAUUUUUGUCGACUACGAAGCAACGGUCAACAUCAUGCCCGUUUCUAUCAUGAAGGCAUUACGUCGCUUUAGCAACGAACUCAUUCCAUUAGGGGUAACCAUGAGCAGCUUUGUCGAUGACAAGUCCUAAACCAAAGGAGUGCUUCUUUUAGAGGUAAAUAUCGCAUGUCGCAAUCACAUGACCGAGUUUCUCAUAGUUGAUUUAAAGACUGAGUAUAAUUCCUUGCUUGGUUGUGAUUGGAUCCACCAAACAAGCUGUAUCCCUUCGUCAUUAUAUCAAGUCUCAUCUUUUGGGAUGACAAAUCAGUCGUGGUUCAUCCAGCCAACAAUCAGUUGUUUGAAGCUAAUAUAAUUUAGGCUCGUUAUUACAAUGAUCACAUCGGCUACAUCACCAUAUAAGGUUUUAAAGGGGAAGGACGGCCAACUUGAAUCUUAAUUUAGAAAGCCAUUGAGGUUGGAAAACAUUGUGACAAGAUUCGGCGUACCAAAAAUAAUUAUAACAGAUAACGGCAUAAUUUUUACAGCCGACAAGUUUAAAGAAUACGCAGCGAGUCUAAAAAUUCAGCUCAAUUAGUCCACGCCAUAUUACCCAUAAUCAAAUGGACAGAUCGGAGCAAGUAAUAAAGUUUUAAUCGGUAUACUUGACAAAAUGAUAAAAGAAAAGCCUGGUAUGUGGCAUUUGAAGUUAAACGAGGCAUUAUGGGCAUAUCGAACUUCACUCUGAUCAGCAACAGGGAUGACCCCAUAUGCGUUGACUUAUGGGCACGACGCGAUGCUACCGGUCGAGCUAAGCAUAAACUCGUUAUGAGUUAUCGAACAAAGUAGUUUAUUCAGUGCCGAGUACAGUCAGGCCAUGAGGUAAGAGUUGGAGGACUUGGAGGAAGCUCGGCUCGAUGCCUAUAACUUACUGGUGGUGCAUAAAAAGAUUACCGAACGAGCUUAUAAUCGAUGAGUUAGGCAAAAGACGUUCGGUGAAGGUGAAUUAGUAUGGCAAACCAUGUUACCAGUAGGGAUUAAAGACCUUAGAUUUGGGAAAUGGUUGCUGAAUUGGGAAGGACCAUUCGUCAUCCACAAGGUUCUUGGCAAGGGGGAAUACCACUUGAAAAAGUAUUAUUCGAUUACUUGGGAAAUGCAAGAAUAAAGAAUUUAUUUCAUUGAUUUUCAAAGGACAUUUACAAGCAAAAUUACAAAGAGUCGAUCGGCCUACAACUACAACUAAAGACAAAAGUCCUAAAGAGUCGAAGGAAGAAAAGCUUCAAAAGUGGCUUUCAGUUCUAGCCAUCUUACUUCGCCCAUCGUGACCUCAGCCUGUCUUGUUCUUUUGUCAAGUUGUAGUUGAUGUAUCUGCUUCGAGCUAGCUGCAUACUCUGCCAGUCGAGGUUUAUUCGAAUUGAAAUCUAUUUCAAGCUCGGAAGCAACGGCUGACCUUUGACGUGGAAGUUUAGUGAUUUGGCGGUCAAGAUCGGCCAGCCGCUCACUCUUUGCUUUUAUGGCCUCGAGCUCUGGUCGGAUAGCUUCAUGAACGACCAUUGAAGCCUUGAGGUCAUCUUCUGCCUAAAGAGCCCCAUCAAAAAUAGCGAAGUAUUGUCGGGUUCGUUUUAGGAUAUAAGAUAGGUGAACGACAUUCUCAUUGCUUAGAAUGCCAUCGUUUACAAGGUCGUUCAUACAUUCUUCUAUAGAAUCGAGGCCUUUGUAUUCAAGGAUUUGCAUGGCUGAGAUAGACAAAAGCUCAUGCAGCUUGGCGAAGACACUGGACACGGCCGCGAUUGCAAAAGACUAGAUCGCGGUUGUUGAAGGCCUAGUCACCCCAGAAGUGUUUGAGAGGAGGGUGUCAAGCUUGACUUUCCAUGAAGGCUGCAUAAAAAGAGUUGUUAGAAAAGAGAAGUUAAAAGGACGGUAGAUAAGGACGUUGUGUUAGACCUACCGAGAAAAGACUUCGGCCAUGUCUGUUGGUUCGUUACUCGAACCGAGAGAGCUUAAUGGCCGAGCCUAGUGUUUAAGGCAACCUUUUAAUUCAUGUGGCCGAUAAAGGUUAUCUAUGUUUGAUGGCUAUUGGGAUGGCCAAGAAAUAUAAAUAACGCCAUUUGGCGCAUAGAAUUUUUGGAGAAAUGAGUAAUUAGGCACCUGGCAGUUAAUAUUUUCUUGGUUUAGAAUUCUAAAGCAAAAAAUUAAUAAAAGAAAAUGAUGACGAGUCUUACAAAGGUCGAAGUAACCUCCUGAAGAGGAAUGUCGAAAUUCUGGUCUUGAGGAUGAACCAACGUCUUUACCAUUGCUUCUGCCUCGACAGGAGGCACCGCUUCAUGUCCUGCACCUAUUUCAGUUGCAAAAGUGUCGACCUGGCCAGCCAUCUCAACUAUCGGUUGAGGAUUGGUGGUUGGUAGUUCAGCUGGUUGAGAGCGCCUCACCAACGGGGGUACUUCAUUCUCGUCAUCCUAUACAUAAAAGAGGAUUGGUCGUUAGUUGAGAGAUAUAGUCAAAAUAAAAGGAGAACAUUAGUAAAAAUGGUCAUACCUAUUCUUCCACAAUGAUUAUUGGAGUCUUCUUUAGAUUUGGCGGAGGGUUUCUCUCGGCUGUGGUGGCCUCAUUCUCCAAAGCAGUAGCUGCCACGCUAACACCAAGAAUAACGGCCGGCCUCGGGGUUGGAAAACCCUUGACUAAUGGGUUGAUGAUGGGUUCAACAACAGCCAGCAUAAUGGGUUGGAUCUUAGUUGAUUGAUCUGUCAGAGGAUUUUGCGGUACUCCAAUCGAGGCCUGGACGACAUGAGAAUGGAGAAGGGCACUAGGAGUGGUUGUUCCCGUGGUUUGACUCGAAAUGACAUAUAUCUCCCGUUCUUCAUUCUUUUCCUUUUUCUUGAGGCACUUUUGGGACCGGGCAAUGUUGCCAGUCGUCUCGACCUUUGGGCGAGGCCGUUUGCUCGGUGCGGUCGGUGCAAUAGGGGCUGCUGCAGAAGUUGGUUUGACUGAAGGAUGAGCGAGUUUCUUUUUAGUCGCGACCAUCGUAACCACAUUGACUCGUUUUAUGGCACGACCACUUGGAAAAACUGAGUUUAAGUCAGAACGAUGUUCAAAUUGAAUAAACAAACAAGGGAAGUAAAAGAUAUAUACCUUUAGUUGUUUCUUUGGAUUUUGGGACGAGUCUUCCUCGGUCGGUCGUCGAAAAGCUUCUUUGAAAUUUCCUCGACUGAAGUACUGAAGAAGUCCUUGACGUAAGCAUCUCACCAAUCGGCGAAGAUGCUAAUGCAAUGGGUUUUUGGGGUAAUCAGCCGAAGAUAGAAAUUGGUGCAUCGCUCUAAGAAUUCCCUCUCGGAUUCAUCACAUUCCCUUUAUGAGGAGCUGAAGAGGCGUUCUCGGCUCAAGGGUGAGCGGGAAGUGAGGAGUGGCAUAGGAUAGGCCUGGACAUAGCUCAGUGGAUAGGCCAUGAAGUCAGGAUGGCAAAUCUCCUAGCUGGCCCAUCGAGCAUCACAACCAAAUGGAAUGUCACGAGCUAGAACAAAUGAUCCAUAUGAUUGUCGGAGAUCAGCGUCUUCUGCUUCUUCCCACACCAAUGUAGGGAGCCUGAUGGAAGACAAAUAUUUCUGGCGGUGGCAGACCAGAAACUCGUCGUUCAACAAGUCUUCAAGGUCGAAGAAGUACUUGAAGACAUCUUCGGCCAAUGGGCAGGAGUAGGGUGUGAGGACAGUUGAAGGCUCAUUGCUUUGGAAGAAUUGAAGUGUAGGAUUUUUGGCCUCAAUGUGUAGAAGUAAACCUGCAACCAUAGUUGAAAGACUCAAAGUGGGCCGUUCUGGUGUGGGUUGAUUUUCCCGACGGAAACCUCAGCCAAGCAUCGAGAAAGGUUGGCAAUGAUGGUCGAGCUGAAGGGCAGGACGUGGCCACUAGCUAGCGCUUCAGCCACUAGCACAUUCUUGGCCAGGCACUUGUACGACUUGGUACAAAAGAUGAACUUAUUGUACUACUAGAACGAGAAGGUCUCGUGUUCCCCCUUCUUGAGAGCUUCCCCCUCCGAGCCAGCGAAGUGGGUGAUCAGGGUGCUAUAAUUGAAGAAGUUCUUGUGCAGCUUAUAUACAUCUUUUUUUCAACGGCUCCUGACCAUCCUUCAUCAAAGCUUCGACGACAUGUUCGUCAAAGACCGCCUUUAGAUCUAGGUCGAAUUGAUAUCGAAAAAGGGUGGUAUCAACUGAAAGACCAGAAAGGGGAGUGCCAAGUAUAGCCGUGACAUCCAGCAUUGUUGGGCCAAUGGGGCCAAGAGGAAGGACCAUAAUGUUGGUGGCCAAACACUAGAAACUCAGGGUGGCCAUUAGGAGUUCUCGAUCCAUGUUGAUCUCAAUGGUUGAUAGCUUAAUGGCAUCAAAGUUACUGAGAAUCUUCCAAUCGCCCCUGAAGUGUGGCUCCAUCCGGGUAGGGGUGGGUACUUGGAAUCAAAAAUCAAAACCGAAACACGAAUCGAAUCAGACCGCACCGAACAGUUUGGUUUUGUGAUUUUGAAACGGUUACGGUUUCAAAACCAAACCGCAGCAAAGAAAACGAUUUGGUUUCGGUUUUGGGGUUUCAAAACCGCACCGAAACCAAAACCGAAAUCGAAACCGCACCAUAUAUUGAAUAUUGAAUGUUAUGUUUUAAUCUAUUGUUUUGUGCAGCUCCAAUCUGAGUUUUUCAUGGCAGUAGGGCUCCCAGGCUCACAUUGCUCUCAUAAUCACUUUGCUUGUUAUGUGUAGCCCCAUUGCAGUAAAUUUUAAUACCGCGGGGCUCCUAUACAAUCUGUGAUACAAACCAACAUGAUAUUCUUAAAUUAGUAAUAAAAUUGACAACGAAUUUUUCUUACUUUGAUGAGAUAUGUAUGAAAUAUUCUGGGAAAAAAUGUACAUGCUAACUCUUGGAUAAUAACUACAAUGAGCGAUGGAAAAUACAUCCAUUUGUAUGCCAUUUAUUACCAAGGAAGUUGCAGAUAAUCGAGGCUAACAUUCUCAAGAGAAUGCUAAGUUGGUAACACAACAGGAAGUAGGUGGGAAAGAAAUACUUACCAGCUAGAGUAAGUCCCUAGGUGGACAAGGCAUAGAAUAAAUUGUACAUUUUUUUUCUCAAAAACCAAACCAAAACCGUUUGAAACCACACCGAACUGAACCAAACGGUUUGGUUUCAUUUUGGUUUUGGCUUCAAAACCGCACCGAACUGCACCGCAAAGAGUUUCGGUUUCGGUUGCGGUUUCACUUGAAACCGCACCGAACCGUACCGUGCCCACCCUUACAUCCGAGUGACCCAAGCAGCCCAGACCGUGAGGGUUGAUGGCCAACUCCCUAGGGUUUGGUCAAUUCCCACUUCGACCAAUCGUAUCCUUGAAAUAGGGGUUCAAGGCAAUGCGUCUUCAACAUCUUGGUGAUUGAUUCUGGGAUGUUUUCCUUGAAAAGUGGUCCCAGAGUUUGGUGGAAAACACUUGAAUCAUCCUCACACCGGAGGGAUUCGAUGGCAUUCUGGUUAAUAAAGUCUCAACAGUUGUCGCAUUCCUCGGCGAGCUUGGUGAUAUGUUAGAGGUUUAUUUUGCUUCUUCAAGGUUGACGCUCAGCUUAGAUUUGUAGGCCGAAUACCUUAGAAGCGAGGGGGCAAUGUUUGGGCCCAAAAUAUUAUUUUGGGCCGAGCUUAGGUCAUUCUCGGCCUAAUGGCAUUCAUUUAGAAUCUUGUUAUGGGCCAUCUAGUUAAGGUCAGCCGAAUCCUAUUACGAAAAGGUUUGGUUUGGAUAAGGGUGAGUUGGUUGAAUCCUAGUGCAACAAAGAUUCUUAAAGCUAAGGACACUGAGAAUUAGGGGGUGAAUCUGGUUUGUUAAGAAGCUUGGUUCAAAGCCUACAGGAAUUAAGAUUGGUUGAAACUUGAUCGGAUUGGGUUGAGGAGUUCUAAUCCUAGUCCAUUUCUAGUUUGGCCAUGAGAGGAUUCGCUAUUAUAAAUAGAGGAGAUAGUGCAUCAUUCAAAGCUCCUCCAAUUCAACACACAAAUUGCCUUGUGCAAAGCUUCUCAACAACCUUUGAGAUUUUAUCCCCUUCCCCUUUCUUUUACCAACACAUCUUCAGUUUGGAUAAACAGUACUGUGAAGGCAACCGAUGACAUCUUCAGUUUGGAUAGACAACACUGUAGCCGUAUAAUUAGCCGACCGAGGAGCACUUUCAGUUUGGAUAGACAACACUGCUUCGAAGCCGACUGGUAAUUUAUCCAAGUCUCGGCUGAUAAGGAUUUUCGAAACCUUGUUAGCAGAGGUCAUCUCAUUAGCCUUCUCGGCGAAGUAAGGUGUUACAUGUUUCUAGGCUUGGCACAUUGAACGUCGAGUUUUGUUUUAUGAUUGGAUACUCGUAAGUAAGUUUCAGAGUUCAGCAUUCCGAUAGCCGAACCACAUUUAAAAUCAAGACAUAUAUUUCUUUCGAGUGGGCAUGCCCCACGCAUAACUAAAGGACGUAGUUAGCUUAUUAGUUACUCGGCCUGCGCGCCACGUAAACUUGAUAGUUUUUAGGGUCAACAACUUUCAUUUUUUCAUUCCCAACCUACCCUGAAUUUAAAAAUGGAUAGAAACAUAAUUUUUAGGCCAACUUUUACUUAAUUUGUUGCUCUUUGCUUUGCCACUUUUAUGCCAAGUUCUUCUUCUUCUUUUUUGUCGAUAUGCUAAGUUCUUCUUCUUCAUCUUCGUCACUUUUUAUUCUUCCAUUUGUUCGUGUUAUACUUCUAUCUUAUAUGUUGGAAUAAAUUAUGUUGAAACUAAAUUCACGCAGUGCCAUAGAAGGUAAAGACACACAAAUUCGAGUAAUCUGUAAAAGAACAAACAACCAUGAGCUAACAAAAAACUAGGGGUGUGCCAGUCAAAGGCUCUCCGAUGGUCAAGUUAGUAAGCAAUAUAAAAUUAAAGAAGUAGACAAGAAAGUAAGUAUGCGAUAAUUGUGUUACCAGAGAAAAUCCUAGAAUGAUGUAUUUAUACUAGUUGAGGAUGGGAUGUUUUAGAAUAGUAGAAUUUGUAUUAAAUCGGGAGAAUCCUAGAGGAUAUCUAGAGAUAGAUAUUGCAUCCUCUUAGGAGUGUGAUUACUUACCGCACACGUCAAUCUUUUGAUUGUAAGGACUCCAAGAUUAAUUAUAAGAAACUUGCUGAUUUCUUGCUGGAUUUUGUUUCCAUAUCUUAUGGAAAAAGGUUAGUCUCAUCGAAAUCAUCAGACUUCACCCACUGAUUUCGGAACAGGAUGAUGGUGGCAUCGCUGCUUCGUAUGUUUAGCUCCGCAUCGGAAGCUGUAGAGUCCAUGACCAAAUAUUCGUAUUCCGAUCCACCUUACUCUGGCCCUGAAAAGUCAUAGUCCAACAAUUUAUAUUGAAAUUUGUCAUGGUGAUAACUUAACUACAUGUAAUACAUAUUCCUUUCGCUUGUACAUGUCUUAAAAUUUGCCAAAUGCUUAUAUGUCUUUGCCUUUCCUUUUGUAUAAUUGGUUGGGUAUUUUUAAUUGUAGGAAGAUAGUAAUAUUUUCAUACGUAUAAUUGUUUCAUAUCUCUUUUAUAGGUAAAUGAAGAUGUUAAUUAAUCAAAUAUUUUUCGUAUAUAUAGAAUUGUAUUAUAUAUUGUUUCUCCCCAAAAAAAAAGUGCUUUAGAUAUCAUUAUCAUAGGUAAGUAACCGUAUAUAAUUAGAAAUUUAAAUCUAUAUUUAUUAUCAAAGUCAAAAUAGUCAUACAACUAAAAAAUAAAUGCACAAAUUGGGUUAAAGUUGACCACACACACACAUACACACGCGCGCGCACACACACAUAUAUAAUAUGUUUGUGUGUUUGUUUGUUUUCUAUAUGUAGAGCUUAAUUAAUUAGGUUUGCAUGGUAUACAUAGUAUCCAAGCUAUGUAGCUAUCUUAUUUUUUUUUUUAUAAAAGUUAGCCUGCAUGAUUUCUAAUCCAUCAAUGUUUCUUUGUAGUUGGAGGUGUUCUAUUUCAUGCAUGCAAUAGUAGGAGCUGUCGCUUGGUAAAAUUAACAAGGGGUUUUUGAACUUUAAUUCUUGAAGAAGAUUAAAAUUUAAUAAAAAUUUAGUGUUAUAUUGAAUAUUGAUUUUAGUCUAUUAAUAUGUAUUUAAUUCAAAUUCAUAUUAUAUUUUUGUUUUUAUAUUUAACAGAUAACUUAUUUAAUGUUAUUACAUUAAAUUUUAUUUAACUUUCUCUAAUUAGUGUACCUAAACGUCUGUAUCAUAAUAUACUUUACUAAAUUAAUGUACCAAAAUGCCCGUACCAAAAUAUAUUGUAGUGAAUUAGUGACACAUAAGAAAAUAUGUAAAAACAUAAGUGUACAGAAAAUUCCGUACCUAACUAUAUGAUACUAAACUAGUGUACCAAAAUGUCGGUACCUAAAUAUAUUAUACUAAACUAGUGUACCGAAAUGUUCGCACCUAAAUAUAUUGUAAUGAAUUAGUGGCAGAUAAGAAAAUAUGCAAAACAUAAGUGUAAUGAAAAAUCUCUAUGAAAAAUAUUUUCUUAUAUAAGAUGCUUACCAUUAGAUGAUUCCACUAAAUGAUGCCUAUAUAUCCUCGAAUCUUACUUUUCCACUCCACUACAAACUUUCAUUGUCAAAACAAAAAAAAAAAACUCCCAACUUUUUAUACGCACUUAUUUCAAAAUUUUGCCUCUCUUUUGAAUCUUUUAUCAUGGCUUUUUCAAGCAAGAAGUCUAAACCAAUUAAGCUUUCCCCCUAUAAUCUUCCUUUGACAAGAGUUCGUAAUCGAGAAGAAGGUGAGUCUUUCAUUAAAGAGCACCAUGACAUUUUGGACGACUGUAACGUCUGGUGGGAACCUGGUCAUGAUAUCUAUGCUAAUCUGCACCGUUGUUUAGUCCUUGCUGUCUUUGUACUAGAAUCUACCCUUGGUUCUUGGACUUUGGUCUUCGUUUCCCUCUUUCUGCUUUUAUGAAAGCCAUUUUGUUAUGCUAUGAUAUAGCCAUCUGAAACCUCUCUUUUACCGCCUUCAAGCUUUUCACUUGCUUCGAGUUGUUGAAUUAGUGGUUCGGGGCUAAGUUGGAUAUCCCAGAGUUUAAAUGUUGCAUAGCUUCAAACCGAGUUUGGAUGACCAUUAUUAUUUUGCUGCUAUAACUAGUUUGGAUUAGGAGACAUACAUCAAGACACCCCUAAUCACCACAAGGAUUGGUUCAAAGACAUACUAAUUGUUAACGGAGCUUAGGAGGGAGAUAUUAGCGGACUCCAGAUCCGGAUUGAUCCUCCGACCGUUUAUCGCAAUUGGAAAUGGUUGUUCUCUACUGAGCACUUGAACAACCGUAAGAAGAUAUAGACGCAUUUCAUUGUUCAGGAUUCCCUAUAAAGAAGCUAGAGUAGGUUGAUGCUCGUAAUGAUCAUAGAAAAACUCGUUCCUUUAAAACAGCAUAGACUUUGUCACCUGUCCUAAAGAAGCGGAAACAUCCUAACAAUUCUUCUUCUUACUCAUUGGUUGUGACUCCUCAGCCACAACUGCUGAUUAAGGACAUCCAUUAUAAACCCCUCUUCGAAUAAGCACGUUGCUGUUCUGGCGCCACCAACUUUUAUUGUAUUUGCCUCUAUAUCCAUAGCAAAUAAGCCGCUUACUUCACCUCUUAUCCAUUUACCUGCGGUGUUGCCCCAAUUGUCGAAGUCAGAACCUAUUGUCCUCAUUUGGUUCUUCCACCAAGUUUUAUGUUCGUGCCAUACGAAAUUGAUGUGCCUUCCAUUUCCUCAACGUCCACUUUCGUCCAUCCGCUGCAAGUGCCUAUAUAUGAACCUUCCUGCCAUAAUGGUCCUCCAUUGAUUUCCCCAUCGAGGUCCAAGGGAACAUCUCGUCCUCCCUUUAUGAUCAAACCUUUGGCUGAUCGAGUUGCUUUUGCUUCUGAUGUCAGUGGUCUUCAAAACACAUAUGAUGCUCGGGUGCUGCAUGGGGCUACGAUUGCCACUACCGAUUUCAAGGGAGCCUACACUUCUCUUAAAUGUGACAUAAUGCAGUACUAUAGGAGUCAUUAUGAGAUACCCGAAUUUCUCUCCUCCAUUUCUUUUUGUUGAUAUGUUUCCCUCGUAUUAGGUUAAUGUGUGGACGAAUCUAGGAACUUAAACGGAUUACAGAUAUAGGCAAAACGAUGAUUGCUAUCCCAAUCAUAAGAACUUAAGAACUCGUAUACCAUGUAGCAAGCCUCGAAUACCACUCAUGAUGUAGAGAUAAUUCGGGAGAUUGAUCUAGCUACUGUUAUAGAGGUAAAGGCCAAAGAUUACAAGGAAAGUUUUGAGAAGGUUAGAGACGAGCUGAGGUUAGAGAAGCAAGCCAAGACGAAGGUGGACUAGGCUCUUGUUGUCUUAAAAGGAGAGUCGGAGCGUGUGUUAGCUUUAAAACAAAAUGUUUGGGCUAAAGAGCAGGAAGCUCUUCAAAAAAAGAGGUCGAGCAUCUAUGCUAAGAGGUCGAUCACAACGAUAACAAGCCCAUCGCGUACCUUUAGCAGCUUACUAACAGGUAUUCCUCUUAGACGUAUGUAUUCCAGGAAGAUCAUAAGAGGUUACUUGAAGAGGAGUUUGACGUCAGAUUCCUUACCGAUUACGCCCAACAAGAUCACCCUAAAGGUUGGAGCGUCUUCAGAAUUUAUGAGUAGAUCAAACACAUGGACUUUCCUCCUCCGCAUCAUUUGUUAGAUGAGAUGUCAGAUUUAGAGGCGGAGCAAAAUGAAUGUGAUCUUAAAGGUAAUCCGACACCUGAUGCCCUUGGUGAAUCUUCUACUCCAUUCAAGGGAAACGAUGUCCUGAAAAAGGAUUAAUUUGCACUUGCUCCUGGGUAGGAAAGGAGACUGUCCCUUUUGCAAACUUUUUGUCGUAAUACAAAGCUUUUUCUUUCAUUUCUUUCUCUACUCGGGGAAGAAAUCUUAAUCCUAUAAAUUUCUCUAAAGUAAACGAACUUUAUUUGAGAAAUAAGUGGCGGAGCGGGUACGAGUAAGUUUGUAGGUUCGGGACAAAGCUCAUCAACUCCCCUUGGAAACAUUGAUUCAGGGGAAUGUUGCCUCCUAAGAUUUGUAUUCAUAAAGUAUUCUCAUCAUGAUAUCUAGAAUACCACCUUAUUAUGGUAUUAGGAAUUAGACAUUAAACCCAUGAGAAAACUCUUGCUCUUACACUUAUUAAAAUACAUUCAUCAGGUAUAAGAGGUCCAAAUCAUGCCUGAUAACAUCUUAGAAGUAGAGGUCGAUUACCUCAAAACUUGCAAUGUGGUGCCAGAAUGAGUUUUCCCUGGUCCGAAUUGCGUGUUCAUUUCUAGUGAAUCUUACGCAAAAGUUCUUUGGAUACAUGGUCAUCAACAUGUGAGUCAAAAAUGCUUUUAGAAUCCUUUUGUUAGACCCUAUGUGUCGGACUUGAGCGUUUAUAAUCGGACUACUUUGGUUGGCUUGACCAAAGCAUUUUCGCUUACUGAAGCUCCAUUGGAAUAAAAUUCCUCUUUGGGAUUGCCUAGUUUGAAUGCCCUCUUCGAACCUGCUAACACUUGGUGUUGUAGAGCUUACUUGACUUAGUAAAUUAGUCUGGGAUAGAAGUAGUCGUACUCGGGGUCAGAUUUUAGAGCCACCCUCAGAUAAGUUCCAGAUCGCCCUUUUGACUAUUCCCUCGAAUGUGUAGAGCCCAGGUUUGGAAUGUUAUAACCCACAACCUUGCUGGUUACAUAAACUUUCUAGAGACUGGAUGGUGCAUUGGACUUCCAGGUCAAGGCGCAAUGUUCCUGUACCCAUAGCCCACCAGUCGUUACAACACUUAUUACUGUUCGAGUCUAACAAGCUGCUAGCCGUUCCAGACGGAUAAGGCUAAAGAAGGCUCUUAUGAUAGUGUAAUUUUGAAUGUUUUUAGACUUGUAUUCGUGUAAAGUUUUCAAAGUUUGGGGCCUAUUUUUUAACGAGUGGGGUACUCCCUACAUCAUCGAAAAAAUAAAGAAAAGAAUACGUAUUUAAGACAAACAGAUGCUCGUUAUUCAUGAUCGAAGUAAAAUUGAUUGACAAGAGGGUGUGAUUGAAUCUGAGAAGGAUUGCCUACAUAUUUAUGAGAUGGAGAAUCAAAUUACUGAUAUAGUUCUAAAGAAAAUAUGAUAUAUGUAAAAAUUUACAUGAAAGAUCACUUUUGACGAUAAGCCUAUAGGGAGGCGUUGGGGGAUGAUUUCUCAAUGGACUUAUCUUCACACAGAUGGGGGCGUUACCGAACUGCCUACAUAUCUCAGGAAGGGAAUCAAACCGUGUGUAUUUCAUGUGAGAUUUACUUUGUUUUAGGUCACUUGGAGAGGCUUGCAAGGGUUUUAAUUUUCUUUCUUCAACAAGGAUUUCAUCCAUCGGCACAAGUCCUCUGGUUUCUAUGUCAUUGAACCUUUUGCUGCUUGGCAUCAAUUCGGAGUAGUGAGGUGGGAUUCUAUCUUUAAAGGGGACUUUUGCCAUGGCGUAUAACCAUUCUCGGCCAAAGAAAGCGUUGUAUAGAGACAAAUUAUCCAUCACUUGGAAAGUCAUCAGAUGUUCAGAUGGUUUUGCUUGAACCAUGAAAUGUAUUGUCCCUAUGGUGUUAAGCGGGGUUCCAUUAAGGGUUUGGACAUUGGAUCUUCAUGAGUUGACUUCAUCUAGGAUGUUAAUUGAUAGGGAUUUUUACCAUCUACAAAAGUAGAGAUAAAAACACUUAAAAAUACUUGCAAGAGUACAAGGUUGUCGUAGUAUAGUGGUUUAGGCAAGGUCGUUUUCCACCGAGAUUGAAUGAAUAAUUUGUGUUUAAAACCAACACUUAAUUAAUUAUUUAAAACAAAGUUUGGAAAAUGUUGAUUUUAGAAUUUAAUAUAAUAAAAACGAAUUUUAAAAUAAAACAAUUAAAGAAAUUAACUAGAGAACAAUUUAAAGAAAAACAAUUUGUAAAAGCCUAGGGUUCCGCCGUCCCCUUAACAAUCCUACGCAAUUUUACUAAUUACUUAUGAAUUUCCACAUAUAUACUUUGAAGGUUAGGUUUUCCUAAUGCAUAUUUUCCUUGUGUGUUUAAGCGAAAACGUAUAUCUAACAUGCAACCCGUCUGUGAUGUUCAGAUCAAAUAUAAACAUGCAAGACUCAUUAAGCUUUAUGAAAACCCUUUGAAAAACCAUGCAACCCUUAAGAGCGUGAUAUUCACCUUAAGUGAACUUACAAUUACUAAUCACAAGAAGCCCUCCUCAAUUUCAGGGUGAUGUUCCAACAGAAAUUGCAUCAAAUUACUUGUCUAAAAACCCUAAUGGUUGCGAAUCACUAAGACAAUUAGAUAGUUUGAUCGCAGUGAUUAAUAAUUCAAAGUAAGCAUGCAUCCAUUCAUAAGCAAAUUAAUAAAAUCACAUAUUCAUGCUAAGGCUUGUGGCAUCGCCCUAGCAAAAGAACUUAGUUACGAACAAUCAUGAAACAAAAUAUUAUUGAGAAUAAGGAUAGAAAACGCCUAGAAAAUAAACUUGAAAAACUCUCUAAAGUGUGCGUGCGUUCUCUCCUCUCCUUCCCUUCUAACCCUAAUGGCUAAAAGGUCUUAUUUAUACUACUACAAAAUAAAACCUAAAAAGUCUUAGAAUAAAACUAGGAAACAUAAUAAAAUAAUAAAACAUAAAAUAAAAGGUUUCCUAUUUGAACUAAAAUUCGGAUUUCUUAGAAAAUCAGACUUUUGACCGACCAAAUUAACUCUGAUUUGUCCCAAAAAGUCUCUUUUGAAAGAUGGAGACGUCCCCUACAAAUCCUCAGAAGAAAUCUUCCUCAAAAUAUUCCAUCUUGACCUUCAAAAUGCCCAAAACGUCCAGAAAGGUCAGUCUGGAAAAGCUGCGCGCUGGGCCUUUAUUUCAUAACCACGGUCAAACGGCUUAGUAGAAAAAUAUAGAAUUUUGACACAAUCAUCUUGAAAGACUCACGAACAUCCUCCAAUUAGAAUUACUCUAAAAUUAAUCUGUUUGAUCACUUUUUUGCUCCAGAGGAAAUUGAAUGUCCAACUUUAGAAAUAUAGUUCAAAGUAUCAAAAUUCUACCAAAAUAACUAGGGUAAAUUACAUAGUAGCCCCUCAGGUUUGAGGUCUAUUACAACCCCAUACAACAACUUUAAAACAUUUCACUUUCAUACAUCCAUUGCCAUUUUAUUUCAAAAUAACACCUCUGUUAGAUUUUCCAUCUAUUAGUCUGUUAAAUGCUGACGUGGCUACCACAUUUAUGCUGAUGUGGCUGCCACGUGGAAAAAAUAUUUUUUAUACAUUAAAAAUAUUAUAAUAUUAACCCAAUUAAAAUAUUAAAAAAAACAUAAAAACCCUAACCUAGAUCCCCUUUCUCCCCCCUCUCUUUUAUGCAAUCCCUUCCCACUAUCCCUCACCCACCCCCCAGCGACCUCUCCCCAAGCGACCCACAUCCCUAUCCCUAACCUAGAACCCAAAAACCUGCAACAAGAAGAAGAAAAAGAAGAAGAUGAGGGAGGAAAAAAAAAACCCCCAGUUUGUCCCCUCUUCAAAACCUGCAAGAAGAAGAAGACGAAGAAGAGGGAGAAAAAAAAGAGAAAAAAAAGAAAAAAAAAAGCCCAGUUCGCGGGAAGGUCGCCGAAAGGUCGCGCGAGGGGGGGGGAAGGGAAGUCGGUCGCGGGUCGCGGCAGAGCGGGGGGAAGGGAGAUGGGUCGUGGGUCAUGGCAGGGCCGGGGGGGUUUUCUUUUUUUUUUCUUCUUCCUCCCUCUUCUUCUUCUUCUUUUUGUUGUUGCAGGUAUGUGGGUCGCUUAAAGGGGGUGAAGUCUUUGGGGGUGGGGUUCGGGGUGGGUAAGGGAUAGUGGGAAGGGAUUGCAGAGAGGAGAGGGGGAAGAAAGGGGAUCUGGGUUCAGAGGGUGUGUAGAGAAGGAAAGAAGGUGGGUGCGGAGGAAGAGAGGGUUGCGGGUUAGGGGGGUGCACAGGGAGGGUCGACGUUUGGGGGGGGGGGCGGGGGUGUUCUGGGUUUCUGGUUUUGGGGUGGGGGGUUAUCAUUUUUGGGUUUUAGGGAACAAGAUGAAGAUGGGGGAUAUAGGUUUGGGGGUUGCUGGGAGAAGAGAGGAUUUUGGGAGUUGCAAAAGGGUGGGGGUGGGGGAGGGGGGAAGGAAGGGAUAUGGAAUUCGGGAUUUUCUAGUUUUUUUUGUUUUUUUAAUUGGGUUAAUAUUAUAAUAUUUUUAAUGUAUAAAAAAUAUUUUUUUCUACGUGGCAGCCACAUCAGCACAAAUGUGGUAGCCACGUCAACAUUUAACAGACUAAUGGAUGAAAAAUCUAACGGAGGUGUUAUUUUGAAAUAAAAUGGCACUGGAUGUAUGAAAGUGAAAUGUUUUAAAGUUGUUCUAUGGGGUUGUAAUUUACCCUCAAAUCUGAGGGGUUACUAUGUAAUUUACCCAAAUAACUAAUAUAUUAAUACUAAGAUAAGGGUAAAAUAUAUGGUAAUAUGGACUUAUCACUAAUCCUUAUAGCUACCUCCUGAAGAGGAUAUUGACUUCCGAUCCGUUAUCGAUUAGGACUCUGCCGACCAUAGUGUCUUUGAUUUACAACUUGACUGCAAGAGUGCCAUUGGAUGGUGGGUAAACAAUUUAUGGCCUGGUUAAGGGAUCUUUCAUCCAAGGUUUUCCUUGGGUCAUUUUCCUUCCCUUCUGCGCUUUCUUGAAAUACUAUUGUCUUCUCCUUAUGUGAUUGAUGCCUGGAUGGACUUCAUGCCUAGGUGUUAGGGAGGCAGUGGUUAGGGAAUUUCCCGCAGUCUUGUAAAUUACACUACUAGGAGGGCUUCCUAGAUCAACUAUUGUGAAUUUGUCGUUCCUGGGGGAGCUCGAAUAGUAGAAUUUUCAAAUCGGGUGAAGGUACCUUCUACAGUUUUCAUUCUUUCAUUCAGCCUAGCGAGCUUCACCCUUUCUCCUACUUGUAGGUUCUUCUUGAGCACUUUUAUUGACAUGUGUACCUUCAGGACGUUAUCCCAGACCUGGUCGAUGAAAGAGGCUUCUUCUCUAUUCGGGUAUACGGUUUGACCAAACAGCAAUUUUCUGGACGUGGUAUCCGUGGAGCAAAGUGGUCUGGUCGAGAGGAAUAUGGGUUUUCUUUUAAUGAAAGCACCAAUUGUUGAAACCAAAUCUACGCACCUCCGUGAGCGGCGGUUGGGCACAAAUCCGAGUAAACCUGAACAACCUACAAAAGGCUCUUCGAUAGUCAAGCAGUAGGCAAGAGAAUUCAAAUGUAUAGGUUACGUUACUGUAGAUGAACCCUAAACGGGUGUAUUUAUACUAUGAGAGAGAGACAUUUUUAGGAUAGAUCCUCAUUUUAAGCCGGGAGAAUCAUAGAGGAUAUUAGUGAGUAGAUAUUGCAUCUUCUUAGGAGUUGUGAUCACUUGCGGAGCAUGCCUAUCCCUAAAUUGUAGGGACUCCAAGACUUAUAGGAUCUGAUUGUGUCCAUAUCCAGAUCACAUCACAUGUCUUGCAAAACAAGUAUGGUCAUAUGGUGGAGUCACUAGGACUCUGCCUAGGGCCCCAUAGUAGAGUGAUGGUGGCACCCUUCUCCAUUUGAUACAGCUUCACCCGGAGUUGGUAGUGAGUCCAUGAUUGAACUCUUGAGAUAACGGUAUUCGGUUUAGCCUUACUCCGAUCCUGAAAAAUCAUGGUCCCACAUGAGCAGACAAACAUAUUUAGGUGAUUCUGUAAAUGAAUAAUUCCAUCGUGUAUUACGGUGCUCCUACAGAAAAUGGUCCCAAAUUUCUAUCACUUCCAUUCAUUUAUCAGCAAUAGCCCAAACGCCAAACCUCAUUUUUUAAAAGUCACCUGGUAUUAAGCUAAAUAAGUCAAUUAAUUAAGUAUGUAAUUGAGUAAUUAACUAAUGGUGGUGAGAUGAUGAGAAAUGGAAAGUACAAGAGUAUCCUGCACAGAACCACCGUAAACAAGGACAAGACAAGAAUGUCAUGACUAGUGUUAUUGGAGCCGCCAGCAGGUCCUCAUUUACAGCUUGUGAACGCCGACAAUCCACCAGAGUAUAAGACCAAGAAGUAUGGCUACCAUGUUUACUGUAAGAUCAACAAGCAUCCCCAGUAAAUAAAAGAAAAACUAACGAAAAGUUAAAAAAAGACUUUAGUUUUAAUGAAAAAUGACAAAUAAAGGUGUAAUGAAUAGUAUCAGGGAAAAGUAAAAAUGUGAUUUUUCGUUAAAAGUGAACAAUACCAGGAGUAUUUGUUAAAACUCCCCAUAAAUAAAUACUAUGAAGUGGGUGGUUUUUGUUUUUUUUAUUUUUAUUUCCUUAUUUUGUGUUGGUGAAAUUGUGGGUGGUGAGUACCAUAUUUGUAUGAAAUAAUAAUUUGAAGUCAAGGUGAUGAGCAAAAUCUUACUCGAUUGUAUAUUAUUAUGGAAGUUGAGAUUUGUUGUCGGAUUCGACAUUCUUCUUAUCCCUCUAACUCACAACAAGUCUGAUCAAAUUCUCAUUUGGUGUCCAAGAUAAAUUUGAAUGAAUAGCCCACAAUAUUUAUUGUAUGUUGAACAAACAAAUGAAAAUUUUGUAUCCAAUUUAAAGUAAAAGAUGAAUUACUCAUACAGAAAACUUGUACAUUCAAAUUUCCUCCAAAAUGACAAGAUUCUUUGGGACACUUUGGAUGCGAUCCCUAGCUAUCAAUAUUCUUUGAUUGAAACCUUGUUAGUUUUUAGUUUUUGAUUGAGGUCCCUGAUAUUAAUGUAAUAAUGUAAGUUACUAUAUUUUUUUAAUUAAAAAUUAAAAAUUGAAAUUUGUAAUUGUUUAUAUUAAUGAGAUUUUAAAUAAAACCCAUAAUUUAUGGGAUUAAAAAUAAUAAAAUAUAAAUUAUUCUCUCUAUUAUAUUGUGUGUGUGUGUGUGUGUAUAUACAUAUAUGUAUGGGUACAUUAACCAAAAUUAACAAAAAAAGUUAUUGUACCAAAACAUGGAUACAUUCUCAAAUCAACGAAAAAGAAUGUACCCAUAUAAGUUUAAACAUGGAUUAAAAAAUUUGAAUGGAUUUUAUAUUAAAAAAGGGUACAUUUUACAUAUAACAAAUUGAUAUAUUUGAGAAUGGGUACAUUUAAGAUUAAAAAAAUUGAAAAAUUAUAUGAAUGGGUACAUUUAAGAUUAAAAAAUUGAGAAUCUUUUUAUAUAUAAAAAAAACUAAUAGGUACAAACUUAAUUUAAUUUAAUUUUUUAUUAUUUUGGAAAUGUUUGAAUUGAAAAUUAAUUAGAAGUUUAAUAGAGGUGUGAGUAUUAAACCCUAAAUUAAUUACUAAUUUUUAUAUUAAAAAAAUUAUAUAAUAAACAUGUAAAUUCAUUAUCACAUUAAUGCUAGGGACUUGAAUCAAAAUUAAGAACUAAUAAGGUGUUAGUCAAUGAACAGUAAAAACUAGGGACUGGAUACUAAUUUUUCCUUAAAAAUAUAACUUUCAUUCAUAUCUACUCAAAAUGAAGAAAACCAUUUACCUCUACAUUCAUCUUUAUGUACUUGGAAUUUUACGAGUUAUCUAUUACAAUCCUAGAAAUCAAAUGACCUUAAGAAACAAAGAAUCAGAAUAUUUAAACUUAGGACAUUGGAUACAAAAGUGUAUAUUCUUAAUCACUACAGUUCAUUUCUUAAACUUUUAUAGUUUAGAAUGCAUAAUCUAUAAAAGCUUUAUUUACAGAAGAAAAGAAAGAAAAUGAGGAGACACGAUUGAUUUGUACAAAAAUAAUAUUGUACAGGCAAAGUCACAUCCCAGAACCAAUUUUGGGAGAGGUUUUGUUUGUUUGCAAGUAAAACAAGUAGAUGUUUUUAACCUUUUACCCUCCAAAACAAGUUCAAGAACGUUCUACUAGUUAGAACAAUAAUAGUAGGGUGGAAUGCUGAUUUAAUCUCUGAAUUAUUACCUCAGUGAAAAUUAGGUCCCUGAAUUAUUUUUCGGUAAAAUAAGUCCCUAAAUUCAUUAAAAAUUGCUAAUUUCAUCCAUACUACUAUAUUAAAAGCUAGUUUAUCACUUUUUUGUCAACUUAAGUCACUUGACACAUUUUAAAGUAAAAUACCAACAUUUUCUCACGUAUAAGCCAUUAACAUUUCAUACAGGUUACCAAUCUAAGGUCUAAUUUUUACCCUCCAAAGUUAACUUCAUAUACUAUUUCUUUAUGUAAAAUUACUAAUCUACUCUCUAAUGUGUAUCAUAUGCAAGUACCUUGACUUAAGUUGACGGAAAAUUGAAUAUAAUAGCUUUGAAUAUAAUAUUAAGGAUGUAAUUGGCAGAUUUUUAAAAUUCAAUGAUUGAUUUUCCUCAAAAAAAUAAAAAUAUUAAAGACCUAACUUUUACUCAGGUGAUAAAUUAUUCAGGAACUAAAUUGGCAGUUCACUCAUAGUAAUAAUGACAGACCCCGACCUAAAUCAGGGCGUGCUAAUCGUCACGUGAGGGUGACGUAGCCAUGUGCACAGUGUGGAAGCAAUAGAGAUAAAAGGAAAUGUGAAUGAAUAAAAACCAUACUACUAAAAGUCCUAGCUAAAAUAAAGUGCUAGUGUGAGAUUAAGUGUGAAAUACACCAUCAAAGCAUAAAUAGUCUAAGUGCAGUUCAACUGGAUAAGUACUAAUUAUAUAACACCCGAAGGUGAUCCUACAUUUAAUAUUCUGUAAGAACCACCGACGAAAUCCCCAUGAGCCACCAAAGCACUUCUACUUAAAAUCUGGAGGGGCGCAAAACAGAAAGUGUGAGUGGGCAAAAACAAAGCUUUUCAAAAUCAGUUCAUUUAUCAAAAAACGCUAACCCCUUGUCGUAAAACCUGUAUAAUUUCCUAAAAAAUAAUAUAUGUUAUAUCAGAAAUCAUGCUCAGGAUGAAAAUCCAUAGAAAUAUAUCAUGCCAAAGUAUCUCAAAGAAAUGCUAUAAAUUAUUCAGUUAAAAUAUAUCAAUACCAGAUAUCAUAUCAGCCGGAUCCACCUAACAUGACCUGCCCAGUUGAGUUUAUAACUCAUAACCAAUCUUAAUCAUAUCAAAUCAUGCACACGAGUCGGAAACACCUAACGUGGUCUGUACGACAAGACUAGGUGUAAAAUAAAUAUGCUCUAGUGCUAUGAUCACGUGAAGACUAUGCAUAUGAUCACGGUUCACCUACGAGUCAGAACCACCUAUAGUGGUCUGUAGGACAAGCCUGUGCACCUAACUUGGAUCCAAGGUAAGCAUAUGGUGCAGGAGGUGAACAUCACAUGAAGGACUGUGCCUUAACUCUGGGCAGGAGCACUAACACCAGGGUGCAGGUUUAUGAGCUCUCAUUGCAUCACAUCAUAUCUCGCAUAACUAAAUCAAUCUCAUAUAUUUAAUUUAUGAACUUACCUGGCACUUACCUGUGCGUCCGCAGCACCAAUCAUAAAUAUAUGCUACUAUUAAUGCAUAAAUAAAAUAGGCAGAUACUUUGUAUGGCAUUUCAAAACGUAUAAUCAUUCAAAUUCAUUUUCUGGGAAAAAUCUCAAGUAUAUAGGUAUAUACGGAAAACCAAAAGCCCACUCACCGGUAUGUCGAAAGGUUGUAGCCCCCGAGCCUCGAAUGAUGGCGCUCGUCCUCUAGAUAGGUCUCACCUAUAUGCGAAAUAACUAAAUAAAUGUUAAUUAAAGCACACAACCACAAUUAGCUAAUAACUUCUUAUACAAUGCUCAAAUGAGGUGUUUGAAUAUACCAACGUGAUCUACUCAACACCACGAACAUCCCCAUAUUUUUAGAAAAAAAUUUCGAGCAUCCAAACACCCUCACGCGCUGGCCAAGGCACGGCUAGACAAGCGGCCCACUUGCAGGCACGUGCCUGGCACACCAAACGGAUUCCCUAACGGCGUUAAGGAAUAUUCCGUUAAAAACCAACAUAUACCGUUAAAAUUACCUGACAGCAUUAGCAUAUUCCGUCAACUUUGACGUAAUAUUCUCCUUCUUCCUCCUUGGUUCGCCGGAGUCUAGCGCCAAUGCCGUUGCUAUCAUCGGAAACUGGAAAAAUCCUAAAAACUUCAUAUCUUUUUCGAUUCUCAACCAAAAUUCAUGAAAUUUGUCUCAAAAUGAAGCUUAGAGUGAGUAGAACACAUUCUUACCACUUUCAAGCCUUGAAAUCCAUGGAAACUCGCCAAAGAAACCUCGAUAAUCCUGCCAAAAUUUGAAACUCGUCAAACUAAGCUUCCCGACGUCCAAAACAGUCCAACUUUCUUCCCCGAGCUUCGUGAAGACGUCCUAAAACUCCCUGGAACCUUAAAAGUCAAAGAAAAGUCCACAAUCAUAACUGCAUGAACAGUGCUCAAAAUCGGGAUUCUUGGGUUCUUGAGUUUUUGAAGGAUUCACGUUCUAAAAAUGGUAUAGAUGUGUUCCUGAGCUCACAAGGAACAUGAAGAUGGCUUCCAAAACCUCGAUUUGCGAUUAAUGAGCUAGGUUCGAGUUUGUCCGUACGGUUGUACGAAAAUGGAAAAAAAUCUGAUAGGGAGGAGAGAGAGAGUAAACGGGAUUGGUUGGUGUGUGUGUAUGGUCUAGCUUUGGGCUACUAACAACAACAAACCAUUAACUUUAAGUUCCGAAAACUUAGGAACUUAACAUAUUGGUCCACCUCUAAAAGUACGUCACACACAACACAUCUCAACGUUUAAGGGUAAAAUAGACAUUUCACACUAUCGAUAAAAAUAAUUUGGGACUGGCUGUGACAACCUACCUUCCUUAAGAAAAUUUUAUCCUCGAAAUUCACACAACAAAUACAAUCCACUAAUAAUCAUAAAACAACCUUGCAUACAUAUCCCUCAUCCUGUCCUCUGUCUCCCAAGCAGCUUCUUCCAUUGAGUGAUUUCUCCAUAAAACUUUCACUAAGCGCACGGUCUUGUUCUUCAGCACCUUAUCUUUCCAAUCCAAUAUCGUCACUGGCUCCUCAUCAUAAGUCAAAUCUGGAUUAAUUUCCAAAGGUUGAGGAGGUAUCACAUGUGACGGAUCUGAAAAAUAAUGACGAAGCAUGGAAACAUGGAAAAUGUCGUGCACUUUAGAUAACUCUGGAGGCAACUCAAGCCUGUAAGCAACUUCACCGACUCUCUCGGUGAUCACAUAUGGUCCGAUAUACCUAGGACUUAACUUACAUUUCUUCCCAAACCGAACCACACCUCUCCAUGGUGAAAGCUUAAAAAAUAUCCAAUCACCCACUUUAUACACCCUGCCAAUGGCGUGUUUUUCUGCUAAACUCUUUUGUCAAUCCUGGGCAGCUUUCAGGUUAGAUUUAAUUACUUGAAUAUUCUGAGUAGUCUCAUCCACAAUCUUAGGGCCCACCAAAACUCUUUUGCCAACCUCUGACCAACAUAAAGGUGUACGACAAGACCUGCCAUAAAGUGCCUUAAAUGGUGCCAUACCAAUACUUGAAUGAAAACUAUUGUUGUAGGCAAAUUCCAUUAAAUCCAACCGCUUAUGCCAAACGUCACUAAACUGCAAUACUGAAGAUCUCAGCAUAUCUUCCAGCGUCUGAAUAGUCAUCUCUAAUUGUCCAUCUAUUUAAGGAUGAUAUGAUGUACUAUAAAGUAAUCUCGAACCAAGAGCUUCCUGGAAUGCUAUCCAGAACUUAGAAGUAAAUCUAGGAUCACGAUCCGAGAUAAUACUAACUGGAACUCCAUGGUACUUCACAAUCUUCGAUAUGAAUAAUUUAGCUAAUCGGCUUAAAGAAUACUUCUCCCUCACAGAAAUAAAAUGUGCCGACUUAAUAAGCCGAUCAAUUAUCACCCAAAUGCCAUCAUAACCAUUCUGUGUACGAGGAAACUUGUACACAAAAUCCAUAGUAAUAUUUUCCCAUUUCCACUAUGGAACGGGAAGUGGCUGCAUCAAUCCAAAAGGUUUCUUUCUUUUUGCUUUGACAUGCCACCUACUCACAUAUUCGGCAAUUCUCUUUUCAUACCUGGCCAAUAAUAAAAUGGUCGAAUGGUAUGAUACAUUUUAGUACCUCUUGGAUGCAUUGCAUAAGCUGAAAUAUGUGUUUCAUCAAGAAUUGCUUUCUUUAAUUCCAUAUUAUUCGGCACAUACAUUCUACUUUCCUGCAUAAGCAUGCCAUCAGUUUCUCGAAUUCUGAAGUCUUUCUUCUUCCCCCGAUUCCUUGCUUGAAUUAUUUCCUGGGUCUCUUCAUCAUCCAUCUGGGCUUCAAGUACAUGAUCAAUUAAUAUUGGCCUGACUUGAAAUUUUGCAAGUAAGGCUUCCUCUCGAUCUUCCACUCCUAACUUCACUCCAGUGGACCUUAAAUCCGUAAGAAGAGGAACAUGACAAUCAUAAAUGACAUUAAGUCUAAUUGAAGGAACUUCAAGAUCAAGCCCCAACGACCCUUUGAAGGAACUUCCACCAAUUCAAGAUCAAGCCCCGACGGCCCUUGAAGAAAGCGUUCAUCGUUCAUCAUCCGUUCAUCCUAAGAUCAAGCCCCAACGACCCUUUGGAUCAACAACAUCAACAAAUCCACAUAUCCAAUCGUUUUUCAAGAUAAAGCCCAAAAUCCCUUGAAGAUCCAUUCAUCAACUGUUCAUCAAGAUCAAGCCCCAAAGGCCUUUGAAGAUCCGUUCAUCAACAAUUCUUCAAGAUCAAGCCCAAAAGCCUUGAAGAUCCGUUCAUCCAUCAACCUUCAAGAUCAAGCCCAAAGGCCCUUAAAGAAACUUCCCUCAACCUUCAAGAUUAAGCCCCAAUGGCCCUUGAAGAAAACUUUCAACCGUUCAUCCAAGAUCAAGCCUCGACGGCCCUUGGAUCAAUCGCACAUCCACAAAUCAACACCUUACGGAGAUCGAAUCAGAGGAUCAAAUUUGAGAGAGAUUGUAACCCCUAAAUCAUUAAUACAAAUAUUAUUUUGUACACGUGUUCUUGUCUCGUUCGUUUAGAAAUUUCCGUGUUUACAAAUUUGGCACGCCCAGUGGGACGUUCUCUAUCUUUGAAUCCGUAAAAAGCACAAAUGGCAUCAAAGAAGACUCAAGUCGCUCUCACAACCAAUGCAAGGAAUAAGAGCGUCAUCACCGCAGGUGGUGUCACUUCGGGCGUCACAACUCGAAGCAAGGCAAGAGCUCUUUCUGCCGCCUCUUCUAUUCCUGCAUCAACUCUGCCGAAGGAACAAGAGCACCCGAGGCACGAACCUAUGAUCAUCCUGGCCUCGCUAAGGGCGCUAAGGAAGGAAAGCCCAAGGAAGUACUCUGGUUCCAUGUUUUCCGAUGCCGACUCAAGCGGCAGCUCAGCCAUGCAAGUCAUGACUACUAGAGCAACUUCAAUCGAUGAGCAGUUGGCUCAUAUGAAUGAAGCGAUCGCAAGGCUAACACGGAUUGUGGAAGAAAAAAACCAGCAAAUCGUCUCACUCGUCAACCAACUAGAUGUAAAGCCCGACGUGAAAAUCGAGCAAGGGGAUGAUCCAGUAAAGAAGGAAAACGACGAGGAUGAAGAGCCUCAUGUGGAGAAAGUCGAAGAGAAACUAAAGCUAGACCAAUCAGCGGUAUUCAUAGGAUCUCUCUCGAUCCAGCAGCUGCAGGAGAUGAUCGCCAGCACCAUCAAGGCACACUACGAAGGAAGUUCACAUGACUCCGUACUAUACUCAAAACCCUACUCCAAGAAAAUUGACGUUUUGAAGAUGCCGAGGGGUUAUCAGCCACCAAAGUUCAUGCAGUUCGAUGGAAAGGGAAACCCGAAGCAACACGUUGCACAUUUCGUCGAAACCUGCAACAACGCGGGGACAUAAGGAGAUUACCUCGCCAAGCAGUUUGUACGCUCGCUGAAAGGAAAUGCCUUUGAGUGGUACACGGACCUAGAGCCUGAGUCCAUCAACAGCUGGGAGCAAUUGGAAAGAGAAUUCCUCAACCGCCGCACUGUGAGCAUACUAGAGCUGACGAGCACAAAACAAUGGAGGGAUGAGCUAGUUGUAAACUACAUUAAUCGAUGGCGCAAUCUAAGCCUCGACUGCAAGAACAGGCUCUCAGAGAUCUUUUCAAUCGAGAUGUGCGUCCAAGGCAUGUAAUGAGGGUUACACUAUAUCUUUCAAGGUAUUAAACCACGGACCUUUGAAGAGUUAGCCACCCGUGCCCACGACAUGGAGCUAAGUAUUGCCCAUCACGAGAAGAAAAAUUCGAUCACCGACUUCAAGAAGGAUAAGGUGUUCUCCCCAAAUGUAGACAAGACUGGGAAGAAACCCCCCAAGGAAGCGUUCACCGUCAGCACUGCACCUGUCAAGACCGCCUUUGCACCUAUCAAGAUCUCCUCCAAAACCAAAGCAAAGGAGAUAAAGAGAGGUGAGCCUCCUCGCACCCAAGAAAGGUACAAAAGCACCUUAAGGGAAUUGGAGCAGAAGGCGUACCCUUUUCCUGACUCAGACAUGGAUGCAAUGUUAGACGACUUGCUGGAAAAGAAGGUAAUCAAGCUACUCGAAUGCAAGUGGCCUGAAGAAAUGAAUCGCAUAAACGAUCCUAAAUACUGCAAGUACCAUCGAAUCGUGAGCCAUCAUGUGGGUAAGUGCUUUGUCCUCAAAAAGCUCAUCAUGAAGCUAGCAUAACAAGGGCGAAUCGAGCUCAACCUCGAAGGCACGGCCGCAACACAUACUACUACAAUUACAUUUGGAUCUUUCGAUCCUGUACCUCUUCAAACAACACUUGACCAUUCCUAUCAAUGCUCAAGUUGCACGAUACCUUAUGCGCAACCAUCGCCGGGGGCAAACGAACAAGAUGCACAUACCGAUGAUGAAGAAGGAUGGACAUUGGUGACCUACAAAAAAACAAGGAAACCAAAACCACAAGCCAUAAGACCAAAUGUGGAACAAGUGAGAAAGCAUCGUCGCCGCAACAAUAAGAAGCCCAAAAGAAACAUAAAAGCUGAUAAGCCAACAUAUGUUGGGGAACCUAUGGAGCAAGAGACACGCAUUCCUGUCUCCUUGCAUGAGUAUUUCUCGAAUGACUUCUUCCAACAGUGCACUAUCGCUGCAUGCCACAUGGUCGAAGUAGAAAUGGAAGAACCUUCAAAAGGCAAAGAUAUCACCACUGAGGGAGAAAAAACUCUCACGCUCGAAGAAGGUCUGCCAAUACACCUUAGCAUUGAGGAAGCGCUACGAUUGCCAAAGAAGAUGCGAAGAGCAUUAACAGCGGUCUUGGAAAGUCCCAAUGACCACGAAGCGCAAGAAAGCAAAGACGAAGGCUUGAAGCUUCAACCACAUGAAUACGCCACAUGUUGUGCCACCUAUGAUGCAAUCAACUUCACUGACGAAGAUUUACUACUGGGAUCAAAGCCUCACAACCGUCCUCUUUUUGUCUCGGGAUACGUAAAAGAGCACAAAGUCAACUGCAUGCUUGUGGAUGGUGGAUCAGCCAUCAACAUCAUGCCAAAGUCAACAAUGGCUACAAUCGGCAUCAAGGUGGAUGAACUGUCCUUAAGUCAUAUACUAAUCCAAGGUUUUAAUCAAGGAGGACAAAGAGUGAUGGGCAUGAUCCGUGUGGGGAUGACUAUUGGUGAACUCAAGUCAAGCAUGAUAUUCCACGUGAUUGAUGCAAGAACUUCCUACGACUUGCUCUUAGGAAGGCCUUGGAUCCAUGCAAAUAGAGUAGUACCGUCCACCCUUCACCAAUGCUUAAAAUUCUACUGAGAAGGAGUGAAGGUGAUCUAUGGUGACACCAAACCAUUCACCGAAGCCGAAUCACAUUUCGCAGACGCCAAGUUCUACAUGGAUGAAGACAUGGUGCCCAAACACCGUCAACAAUAAAGAAUGUGACCUCACUGAGACUCAAAAGAAGUUGAAGAAGCAUGGUUACGGAGUUGACAACGACAAAGCUGGACUUGGCUUCACACCAAAUGCACACGUGAAGAUUUCAAGCAAAGCAAAAAAUGCUAGCACUCAACACAUCAGCGUGAACAUUGAACAAGAUCAAUAGAAGCUUAAGUCCGCCCUUCGGACGUUAGUCUUUGAUAGGAUGAAUCGUUCAAGACCCAGAACGUCAGCACUUGAUCGCAUUGGUGGUCAAAACCCAACCUCCGUCUUCAAGAGGCUUAACAGGCCAACAUCCCAGCUCUCCUUCUCGUCGGUCGACUUUGGAAAGACUUGAAGACAACAGGAAGUUUUCUAGAAAUAGGGAGACAACGUCAAAGGAAGAAAAGCUCAACAGGCUAGCAGAAAAAGGCGAUAUUUGAAGCUGAAUUCCUUCAAGGAUGAAGUGCCAAGCAAUCUUGAAGGUUGACACAAAUGGACCACUGAAAGUAAGAAGGUGCAUCAUCAUCCGCACUGGACAAUCUUCAUGCCAACAAGCCCAAGAGGAUGACACUGAAUGGGAGAUCCAAGACAUCUUCCUCGUCACAAUUCAAAAAGGUAAAGGAGAUGAAAUCCCUAAGGAAGAAGUCACCUCUGUUUCUUUCGACUCAAAGUCGCCACCUCAAUCGCUAGGGGCAUGCUCCAAGUCAAGCGAAGUUGAAGGAGGGACUCAUGUCGCUUCAAAGAAAUUACACAUAAAGCCUACGUCACAUUCACAAAUGCACCAGUUGAAAAGGGGGCAAGAAACCAUUGUUAAUACACUUUCAAGCCUGGAUGAAGUUGAGAUCGACAACAUGAUCGAAGGUGAUCUAAUUUAAGAGGUCGUGGAUGCAGGACGAAACUUAAAUGUUGCCUUUAAAAAAUCAGGGGAACUCCGCGCUUGCAUAGAUUCUCGUAACUACAACACCCGAAAGAACAACACCGAAUAGGAAGUCCAAGAUGUCUUCCACAUCACGGUCCAAGAAAGCAAAGAAGACGAGAUCCCCGAAGAAGAUGUCACUGCUGUGCCACUGCAACUUGAGGAUGGGGGGAAUCCACGGUUGAUGAUCUCAAGGAGCUCAACUUAAGCACAAAAGAGGAGCAGAAACCUAUCUUUGUAAGUGCGCUGCUAAGUGCGGACGAGAUAGAGGAGUAUUACCAAUUGCUAUCAGAAUACAAAGACGUCUUUGCUUGGACCUACAAAGAAAUGCCUGGCCUUGACCCUAUCAUUGUUGUGCAUCAUCUUGCAGUCAAGCUUGGAACGCGACCGAUAAGGCAAACUCAAAGGCGUUAUUGAUCCGAGUUCAUUCCACAAAUCGAGGUAGAGAUUGACAAGUUAAUCGAAGCAGUCUUCAUUUGGGAGGUGCAAUACCCCAAGUGGAUCUCCAACAUCAUCAUCGUCCUUAAGAAAUCUGGACAAAUACGUGUUUACGUAGACUUCCGGGACCUCAACGACGCUUGCCCGAAUGACGACUUCCCCUUGCCAAUCAUCGAAAUCAUGAUGGAUACAACCACUGGCCACGAGGCACUGUCAUUCAUGAAUGGCUCUUAUGGAUAUAAUCAAAUUCGUAUGGCUCUCGAAGACGAGGAACUAACAGCCUUCCGCACUCCAAAAGGUAUUUACUGCUACAAGGUGAUGCCCUUUGGUCUGAAGAACGCUGGAGCUACAUAUCAACGUGCAAUGCAGAAAAUCUUUAAUGACAUGCUACACAAAAACGUAGAAUGUUAUGUAGACGAUGUGGUGGUCAAGACAAAGAAAAGAUCAGACCGCUUGAAGGAUUUGCGAAUGGUGUUCGAAAGGUUGUGAAAAUACAACCUCAAGAUGAACCCGUUAAAAUGUCCAUUUGGCGUCACCUUCGGAAAGUUCCUUGGCUUCAUUGUCAAGCAUCGUGGUAUUGAAGUUGACCGAUAAAAAAUCAAGGCCAUUCAAAGCAUGCCUGAGCCAAGAAACCUGCAUGAGCUGAAAAGUCAACAAGGACGGCUAACCUUCAUCAGACACUUCAUCUUCAACCUUGCAGGGCGUUGUCAACCGUUCAGCCGACUCAUGAAGAAGGAUGUUUCGUUUGUAUGGGACGAAACAUGCCACAAUGCUUUUGAAAGCAUAAAAAAGUAUUUGUCAAGUCCACCUGUCUUGGGGGCACCUGUGCCCGAGAAACCACCAUAUUGUACAUCGCCGCUCAGGAAAGUUCAGUUGGAGCACUCUUGGUGUAAGAGAAUGAAUCCCAGAAAGAAUGAGCGCUCUAUUACCUCUGCCGAACUCUCACCGGCGCCGAGUUGAACUACUCCCCAAUAGAAAAGAUGUGCCUUGCCUUGGUGUUCGCCAUCCAGAAACUCAGGCAUUACAUGCAUGCUUACACCAUCCACUUGGUUACUAAAGCUGACCUAAUCAAAUACGUCAUGUCCAAACCAGUCUUGACGGGGUAACUCGCUAAAUGGGCAUUGCUUCUUAACCAGUAUGAGAUAAUCUACAUCCUAACUAAAGCUGUCAAGGGACAAGCACUAGCAGACUUUCUUGCUGAUCACCCAAUCCCAGCUGAUUGGAAAAUCUCAGACGACUUGCCUGACGAGGAAGUGUUCUACAUCGACAUCUUCCCGACAUGGACGAUGUUCUUCGACGGAUCUGCACGAGCAGACGGAGCAGGGGUAGGAAUAGUAUUCAUGUCGCCACAAAGGCAGAUAUUACCUUAUUCAUUUCAACUAAGCGAAUUAUACUCCAACAACGUCGCUGAGUACCAAGCACUGAUCAUCGAACUCCAAAUGGUGAUCAACAUGGGAAUCAUAGCCCUUGAGGUAUUUGGCGACUCCAAGCUCAUAAUCAAUCAACUCUUAACCGAAUAUGAGGUGAGGAAAGAUGAUCUUGUCCCAUACUUCCGGCUGGCAACUCAACUGCUACAAGAGUUUGAGAUUGUGACACUAGAACAUAUGCCAAGAAAAGAAAAUCAAAUGGCAGACGCUCUUGCCAACCUAGCCUCAAGCAUGACAUUAGGAGAAGACGAAGCUGCAGACGUGCCAGUCUGCCAAAGAUGGGUGACCCCCCUCGUCACCGAAAUGCUAUUGGAUGAUACAAAUGUCAUCUCAGUACUUCCAGUCGAUGUUAAAGAGUGGAGACAACCGCUGAUCAACUACUUAAAGCAUGGAAAACUUCUAGAUGAUCCUAGACACCGCUCCGAAAUACGUCAACGAGCACCUCGCUUCCUUUACUACAAAGAAACACUCUACCGGCGCUCUUUCGAAUGAGUACUUCUGAGAUGCCUAGGCGAGGAAGAAGCCAAUCAAGCCAUGGAAGAAGCACAUUCAAGCGUGUGUAGGGCGUAUCAGUCUGGACCAAAGCUGCAUUUCCAGCUCAAAAGGAUGGGUUAUUACUGGCCAAGCAUGGUGAAGGACUACCUGGAACAUGCCAAAAGGUGCAAAGCCUACCAAUUCCAUGCCAACUUCAUACACCAACCACCUGAGCCAUUACACCCUACAGUUGCUUCAUGGCCAUUCGAUGCAUGAGGAUUGGAUGUCGUAAGACCAAUUACCCUAAAGUCAUAUGCAGGAGAAGCUUACAUUCUAGCUGCAACAUAUUACUUCUCCAAGUGGGCUGAAGCCAUACCCCUAAGGGAAGUAAAGAAGGAAACCGUCAUCCAUUUCAUCAAGGAGCACAUCAUCCACUAAUUUGGGGUACCUUGCUACAUCAUCACUAAUAACGGAAAACAAUUCUCCAACCGACUCGUGGAUGAGCUCUGUGAGAAAUACAAGUUCAAGCAACACAAGUCUUCCAUGUAUCAUGCUCCGGCCAACGGUCUUGCAGAAUCAUUCAACAAAACAUUGUGCAAUCUUCUGAAGAAGGUGAUCGGUCGAAUAAAGAGAGACUGGCAUGAAAGAAUAAGCGAAGCACUUUGGGCAUAUCGAACGCCACAUAGGACUCCUACCCAAGCUACGCCUUAUUCUCUUGUAUAUGGCGUGGAAGCUGUUCUACCGCUCGAAAUCCAAAUCCCCUCACUAAGAAUGGCUAUACAAGAAGGCUUGACUGAUGAAGAGAAUGCAAAGUUGCGCCUUCAAAAGUUGGAAGCACUCGAUGAAAGAAGGCUCGAAGCUCAGCAACAUUUGGAAUGCUACCAAGCAUGGCUAUCCAAGGCAUUCAACAAGAAGGUCCGCCCAAGGUCUUUCCAAACUGGAGAUCUCGUCCUCACAUUGCGUAGGCUUAUCAUCACAACUCACAAGACAAAAAGCAAGUUCACAUCAAAGUGGGAUGGACCAUACAUAAUACAAGAGAUCUACACCAACGGCGCCUACUUAAUCACGGCAGAAGACGACUUGAAUAUUGGCCUUAUCAAUGGAAGAUUCUUGAAGCGCUACUACCCCUAAAAGGCGAUAACCAACGCUCUUGGUUCGCACGAGCCUAAACUGCACAAACCAAAGCUCCUGGCCCGCAAAAGCAUAAUCUGUAUACGGCAAAAUCAUCAUCAAAAUCAUUGUUAAAUUCAUCGCUCAUUUGAACUACGUUAUGACUUGAUCCCUCCUCAACUGAGGGUACGUAGGCAACUUGAAACUUCAAAACUUCAAGUACAGUCACACCAUCAAAACUUCAAAAAUAUAAAUACUUUAUUUCUUUAAAAGAAGAAGUCGGCUCCAAAGCCUUAUUACAAGAAAAAUAGAAGAUACUACUUGAAAACUAUGUCCCUAAAACUACGAAGGCGAUCUUCAAGCAAGCCUUCCAAAGUCUUCAAAGUCUCUACCUCGGUGGGAGACAAGAUGGGCAACUCCAUAGUCAUGCCUUUCUCUCGUUUUAGGCGUGAAAUCUCCUCCUGGUACUGAGAAGGUGUAGUUCCCUGCUCCGAGAGAACACUUUCAAGUUGCGAUGCUUCGAUUACCAACUGCUCUCGCUCUUGCACCAACGCAUCUAGACACACUUGGACAGAAGUUAAAGAAGUAUCUGUGAAUUGAUAAUCUCCCGAAGCAGCUUGCUGAGAAGACCGGACUUGAGCCAGUGACAAGUUUAUUGUUGCUAGCUGAUGAGCUAUAACAUUUGGACUCAACUUAUCCAAGGAAAUAGCACGCAAGGAAGAAUACUCAGUCGAGGCGGCCAUAAGGUCGGCAAUCUUGAUCUUCAACGAUGAAGAAGCAACGUUAAGGUUGUUAAUCACAGAAACAAGCUUCGGAAAAUCCUCUUUGAGCAACAUAUGGUCUUCCAACGGGCACUUAGAAAUCCUCUUCUCUAUAUGGCUCUUGAUAUCCAUUGUCGCACCAAGACUAAUGCGAUGGAUGACUUGCUCAGUACCGCUAAGGUUCGGCCCUCUCAAAGAAAUCUCAGAGCUAGCUGGCAAAGGUGUUGGACGCAUGACGGGUCGCCGAUCCUCGAUCUCCCUGUCUGUAGGUAGGUAUCCUACAAAUAGCAUCUCCAUAUAGGAAUAAACAUCUGCAGUUGCCAAAUCAAAAGGACGAGAAGGCCCAGCCUAAAGAAGGCAAAGAAAGAUGUUAGAAACAAAAGCCAAAAUGAUGAAAGCAGAAGAAAUCACGAAAAAAAAAAAUUGAAGUACAUACAUCUCUCUCAAAUGACACACGGUCAUCAAAUCGAUGAGGUCUAAACACUUCCUUCUUCUUAUGAUGAAAAUUGACAUCGCUGUCAACAUGAGCAUCCUCAAGUGGUCGCUUGUUUGAAACUUGUUCACGCUGCUGCAAAAUAAAUCCAUCUUCGUGUGAAUCAACUUCAUCUCCCACCUCUCUAGAAGCAUUCGGAUGUCGAGGAGACAAGCAAGGGCGUUGAUGAGCUAAAGCUACAGGUCUAUCUUGUAAGGGAGCCGUACUCGCGCAAUCAAGAGGUACCAGUUGCAUAGGAACCACAAGACAACCCUCUCUCGACAUAUCAUCACCUAAGUGAGAAUAAUUGGUAUCACUUGCCAUCCCCAAGCUCUUAUAAUGUACCUUUGACCACCAACAUGCGUAAACACGGGUCAUUGGAUUACUUUUGAACUCAUCAUUGGCUGGCAGCGUGAUAACAACAUUUGUGCAUGCACGGGUACAAGACUAUCAAUGCAUGUACACGGCUUGCAAGGAUGCCAAUUGGUUCUUUGCCUUCAGCUUGCCUGGCACAUUUUGGACAAAGCCAAAUUGCUUGCUGAAACGGUGGGGAUUAUAUGGCUGAACAAUGCAUCGGUCUUCUUGCCGUAAAGAAACAAACCCCGAGCGAAGACUUAUAAGAUAAGACAAGUCUGAGAAGCGGAGACGCGAAUUGUCUACGAUGCCUCGCCGCACCGGGCCAUCCUUAAAUCUUUAAAUCUUCACAACGUUUAAAUAGCGCUCGCGCUUGCAAAUCAUCAAGGCUCUUCGCGGAGAGCACGCUAGAAUACUUCGUCAUCAAAGGCCUCAGUUUGGCUCUAAUCGAUGAAAAAGACAUUGACUUGUCUAAAGUCAACAAAGAAAAAUGAGUGCCAAAAUAUUCACCCAACCAACCAUACACAUAGUGGUAAGGGAGCACUGCAGCAUGAUCUUCAGUGCUUGCCGAGUUCGAAACAAUGCUCAAGCCAUUAUAAAUGUUGGUUAAGACCGGAAUAGCAAGGCUAAAAGACUCCCCUGCAGCCAUCUUGCUAGCAACCUUGAAAACUCCAGGACAAACUAAGUUGACGUCGCCUGUUAGGAAAACAAACUUACAAAGCCAACAAGCUAAGAAAGCAGCUAGGUAAGACUCUUCCACAUGCUCUGAUGUUAUGCCAAGAUCCUCAAACGCUCUCAACUUGUCAGAAGAACGGCGCAUGGUUGAGCCAAUAACACCGGACGGGUCUGAGUCUCCCUUUGGCCUAGUGGUUUUAUUAUGGCCAUUUUUCUUCAAAGGCUUCUUAUACCUCAUGGCCUCCCAGUACCAAAAUCGGAUCCAUGAGGAAUUCCUCACGCCUGAUUUACCUUGAGCAUCCUGGAAAAGCUUGUGAUACGCCCAAAACAAACAGCGGCAACUCGCAGGCAAUCCUCGGUUAUAGCAAAGAGAAAGUUCAUUCACGCUGAGAACGACCUCGUCGUAAAACUUGCCUUGGAUCGGCAAGCCUCUUAUCCUGUGAAGAUCCCAAAGUGAAAUUGACAUCUCCCCUUGCGCCGUGUGAAGUGUGUUGGUCGUCGAACACCAAUGCUCAAAGAACGCACGAAGGACGGAAGGAUGGCGAUCAUAACUAAACAAAGAUGCGUACACAGCGUGGUAAAGGCCCACGUUAGUAAGCACAUCUUUAGAUCGGCUUAAGACAUCUUCAAGCCACACCCAAUAAAACUCAUCAGACGGCCUCUCCAGUGGUCGACAGGGUACCAUUCCAAGCCAUAGCUCCACUGCGGAUAUGAUCACCAAGAAGCUUAAACGAGGCCGAAUGAUUGUCAUGAUUAUGGUGCGAAUGAUUCAAGAUAAGAACCCUCGAUAUGCACACCUUCUUCUUCAUAUUUGGUCGAACAGAGUCUACCACCUCCCAAGAUACUUCAGAAGACCACGACUUAAUAUGCAUGGAGUUGUCUUUCGCGAGAAGAGCAAGCGCCUUAUAACCAGUCAGUGGCGUGUAAAGCUUCAACGUUGUCCCCUCAUCUUGCGAAUCGCCGUCCUUCGCAAGAAUGGUGAUGGUGUUGCUCUUAAAACACUUAAAAAAUACCAUGACUGCAAAAAAAAAAAAUCAGCCACAAAACUUGAGCACCACGGCAAAUAGGGCAGCUACAGAGCGUUCCUUUAAAGCACGCUACACUGGCGAAGAAAACCAAAAUGCUAUGCAAUCACACUACGUAACCCCGCUGCAGGCUCUUGCACAACACCACACGGCAGCGCACUACCAAGGGAAAACUGUGAUCAAAAGGCACUACACAGCAAAACCCCGUUACAGUCUCUGGCACAAGCACUAGGCAACCUGCUCACUCCGCCACCAACAACCAUGUCUCUAAAAGCUUCGUGAGAGUCUCGGCAUCAUGCUCUGCCUUCAUAAAAAAUAGACACAUCGUAUUUUAUAUAUAUAAGACAUACAUACCCACGGCAAGUGGCAAGGUCAAUGUGCAUGGCAACGUCACCACCAAGGAAAGUUGUGACCAAAAUGCACCACAUAGCAAAAUCCAGCCGCAGUCUUUUGCACAGCAACACGUGGUCUGCUCCAAGCUCCAAGCUCCAAGCUCCAAGCUCCAAAGUUCACCAGUUCGACAAGCAGCAAAGCAGAGAAGAACGUUCACAGCAGAAGGAGGUUAUGUCUAUGGUCAUUUUAUAAGCUCAACUUGUCCGUCCAAGUGAAGAAAAGAAAAGAAAAGAAAAGAUAUAUAUAUAUAUAUAUAUAUAUAUAUAUAUAUAUAUAUAUAUAUAUAUAUAUAAAAAUAAUAUAAUAAAAAAAUUUGGGUGCUUCAUGCACCAUGUAAAGAAAAUAUAAAAUAUAUGUAUAUAUUAUUAAAAAAUGUAGGUGCUUCCAGCACCAUGCAAGAAAAAUAAUUUAAAAAAAAAGGAAAAGCAAAAGAAGGUGGCCGGCCAUCAUUUAAAAAAAUUGUAAGGGCUUUGGGUGCUUCACGCACCAAGUUUUGGAAUUCUGGAGGUGCAUGUGCACCAUGCAAAAAAAAAAUUAAAAAAUUAAAAAAUUAAAAAAUUAAAAAAAAAAAAGAAGAAAAGAGAAUGAUAGUCAUCUUUUGUUAAGGGAUGGUGGUGUCCAGAAAGCAAAAGGGACAAACAUUCAAAUUGGGAAAAAGAAGGAAAAUAUUGAUGGUGCCAGUCUCACCGACAGUGAAAAAUACAUAUAUAUAUAUAUACACACACACACAGAAUGAAAUAAGGCUCAUUUAUUGAUUUCUCUGAAAAUUUACAUAAAUGUACAUUUUACAUAUGAAAAAAAAAAUUAAAAAAAAAUUAAAAAAAAUUAAAAAAUUAAAAAAUUAAAAAAUUAAAAAAUUAAAAAUUAAAAAUUAAAAAUAAAUACAGGAGGGAGCUUUCACGAAGGUUGCUCGUGUGAAGCCUCAUCACUCUGCGAAACUCCAGGAAAACUUUGGAGGUUGACUGUUUAGAGCCUCAACAUUCAGUAAAACUUUGGAGGACGAAGGCAAUAGAUGCCUUUGAAGUAAAGCCACAAACGUCCGAUGGUCACUCUGAAUCUGAUCUUCAGAUUCCUGCAGCUGGUCGAGCUUUCUUUUCAUGUUCGUUGAGUAACUAUUGGCAAGCAUGUGCAACUCUUUGUUUUCAUGCUUAAGCCUUCUAAUCUCUUGCUUAAGACUCGCCGCCUCAGCCAUCAGUGACUCGACUUGACGAGUUCGAGCAAGAAGGCGUUGGCCCAUAUUUGAUACAGAGCCCGCACACUGAACACUAAAAGCCAGAGAGUCCUGAACAGCCAAUCAUUAGACCGCUUGGAAAAGAUCCUAUUGUCCUUAGGGGUGAGAAGAUUCCUAGCUACCACCGUCGCGGUUAUGUCAUUCUUCAUCAUAGAGUCCCCAACUGUAAGAGGACCGGUGGCGGAUAAGAAGGACGGGCGCCAUACGUUGUCUGGAGAAGACAUAUCAACAUCUUCCCCAACAUUCAAAUCAAGACGACGAUCAGAUGGGCAAGCCAUUUGCAAAAAUGAUGAAAGAAGAAUAGGUCGUGUAAGUCGAAUUCUUAGAAAUGCAAAAUAAGGGAAAUUCCUAACAGGUAGCGACUCUCUAAGUGUGUUUUUGAACACGAUUCAUGCCUCUAUAAAAAGAAGAGGCAACAGGGCCUGUUCAAAAAUCGAAGAGGCAAUGUGGUCGUUCAGAAACCAAAGAGGCCCCUCUCCCCGAAUUUCAAAAAACUGAGCCAUUUGUUCAUAAAUCGAAGAGGCAACAAGGCCACCAGUUCAAAGAUCGAAGAGGCACCACUCUCUGAAUUUCAAAAAAGACCGGCUUUUCAGGAUUUGUCACCAUCCUUCACACGCAACCUCAACUUUGCGGAAAUCACGCACAACUUUGUAAAAGAUUUCUGACAAAGCUGAAAACGCGUGAAUCUUACUAUUUCAAUUACCCAACGGUUGCCGACAAGAGUAAAGGAAUAGUGCCACUACUGGCUAUUGGGAAAUUCCUAUAUAUGUCGACCUUCACCCUCCAUAGCAAGGCAGACCUGCAAAAAUGUCCAACCCUUCCUCAUUUCCGAGAGUACACUCCCAGCAAAGCCUAUUGAAAUACCCAGUUUUCUUCCUCUCCUGGAAUACCUCUGUAAACAAAUGACACCAAAGUAAAAGUAUCCCAUAUCAUCAGGGUAAAAAGCAAGAGUAUCUCAUAUCAUGCAAUCUCCCUAUCCUUUUCUUUGUCCUUGUUCUUACCUGCAAAGACAAGGAUAAAGAAAGCAAUAUGUCGGAACCUCCACUCAAACUCCGGGUAAGGAAUCGACUACCUGGAACCUUUGCCUGGUUGCUUACCUGGCAUUGCUCUAAAGUACUCGUCUUAAACUGCUGAUGUACUUCCGAAGAAGAUGCCACAUUUGCCUAGAGAACAGAUAAGGCAAGUGAAAAUGAUACCUUGAAGCAUGUGGAGACAACGUGUUGAUUUCCUUCAAGAUCAAGUCUCCCCUUCCCUGCACAAUCAAGCAACCCAGCAGAAGAAGUCUGAGUUGAAUCCAAGAGCUCGAGCUGCUUCAACAACAUAUUGACGGCAUCAUCAUCGAAGAGCAAAGCCUCGCUGUGCAACGCUGUCAAAAUUGCCACCAUUUAUUCGAAAGCAAGAGUAUUUCAUAUCAUGCUUUCUCUAUGUCCUUGUCUUUGUCCUUGUUUUUACCUGCAAGACAAGAAGAAGGAGAGCCAUCAGUCAGAACUUGAAAGUCAAACUCCCAGUCAGGAACCGAUUGCUUGGAACUUUUCCCUGAUUGCUUACGUAGCACUACUCUCGAAGUAUCCAUUAUCUCAACAUCUUAUACUUCCAGAUAAGAUACCACAUCUGCCCGAAGAACAGAUAAGGCAAGGGAAAAUGAUACAUUGAAGCAUGUGGAGACAAGCACAACAAAGCACAACAAAGCACGUGCCAAUUCAUCUGCUACUUCUUCAAAAUCAAAAGUAUCUCAUAUCAUCAGGGUUUCAAUCACUCUGGGUAGUGGACUCGUUUUGACCCUCAAAUUCUUGGGUCGACUUGCUAGGCGUUGUGGGCUGCACGUGCCGAUUCACCACCCUUGAAUCAAAUCCUUAAAGAUCAAGUCACCAACUGGAAGAAGAGCCCAUCAAUCUUGAAGAUCAUACCGUUGACCAAACUCCUCAAGUGUGAAUUAGAAAGAUUGAACAAAGCAACAAGUCAUCACCUUCACCUCGUGCCUGCUUGCCAUGUGUUCGAGUCAACCUUCAAGAAUCAAGCCUCAACGGCCCUUGAAGAAGCUUCCAGCCAAAUUCAAGAUCAAGCCUCGACGACCCUUGAGGAAAUCACAAGUCCGAUUCAAGAUCAAGUGUCUACCACCCUUGAAUCAAAUCCAGUUCAAUAAUAAGCUGUGGAAAGUCAACAAUUGGAGGAAACCAGAAAAUCCUCCAACCUAGUUCAAGAAUAAGCUUGUGGAAAGUCAACAAUUGGAGGAAUCCAGAAAAUCCUCCAACCCAGUUCAAGAUCAAAGCUGUGGAAAGUCAACAAGCGCAACAAAAUACGUGUCAAUUCAUCCACUACCAAAGCCAAGGAUCAUAUACCACAUGAAGCUCCUUGUGGUCUAAUUUCAACCUUCAAUAUCAAGCCUCGACGACCCUUGAAGAAAUUUCAAACAAAGUUCAAGAACAAGCCUCAACGGCCAUUGAAGAAAUCUCUAACCUAAUUGAAGAUCAACCAUCAAUGGCCCUUGGAUCGACAUCUACAUUAAGGGACUUCAAAACGCAUCUUCUACACAUAAUAAACACGUGUAUACAGCGUGCCUUGAAGUGGGGGCAUUUGUAGACAUCGAAAUUUUGGUGAAAUAAAUGUUGAUCAAUAAUUAAAAUUUCAACGUUCACGUGUCACAUAAAUUUUACACAUAGCAGGUGACUCAACGAAAAAUCGAGAAUCAUCAAAAAAGUCAUCAAACAGGACACGUGUCAACACCUGGCAGAAACGAUUUAUUUCAUCUGAAUAAUACAUUCAAAAUUAGGCUUUGGAAAAUUCUAUAAAUAGAAGCCAUUUCAUUCAUUUUGGGGACCCCAAUUCAUAACCAAUUCACCUCACACCAAAACCUUGAAGCUUUGAAACUCCAAAGCCCCAAGCAAAUCCCGAAAGAUCAAGAAAGCUCUCUUCGUUCUUCGUCAACCCAACCUUCAAGAUCAAGCCCCAACGGCCCUUUGAAGGAACUUCCACCAAUUCAAGAUCAAGCCCCGACGGCCCUUGAAGAAAGCGUUCAUCGUUCAUCAUCCGUUCAUCCUAAGAUCAAGCCCCAAAGACCCUUUGGAUCAACAACAUCAACAAAUCCACAUAUCCAACCGUUCUUCAAGAUAAAGCCCAAAAGCCCUUGAAGAUCCAUUCAUCAACUGUUCAUCAAGAUCAAGCCCUAAAGGCCUUUGAAGAUCCGUUCAUCAACAAUUCUUCAAGAUCAAGCCCAAAAGCCUUGAAGAUCCGUUCAUCCAUCAACUUUCAAGAUCAAGCCCAAAGGCCCUUGAAGAAACUUCCCUGAACCUUCAAGAUUAAGCCCCAACGACCCUUGAAGAAAACUUUCAACCGUUCAUCCAAGAUCAAGCCUCGACAACCCUUGGAUCAAUCGCACAUCCACAAAUCAACACCUUACGGAGAUCGAAUCAGAUGAUCAAAUUUGAGAGAGAUUGUAACCCCUAAAUCAUUAAUACAAAUAUUAUUUUGUACAUGUGUUCUUGUCUAGUUCGUUUCAGGAAUUUCCGUAUUUACAGAUUCAACUUUAAAUUAUAAACAGUCUCAAGAGGUGUCCUCUAAGGAGGACGAAAAGAAGACUGAAUAGCAUUAGCAAUAGCUUCUCCUAAUUGAGCAAUAUCGGGGAAACUAGGCUCAACAGCGGGACGUGGAUCUCUACGAGGCGCCAUAGUUCUGACAGAAGACAUCAAAAUAAUUAGAAAAUUCACAAGAUAUGCAAGACUGCAAACCUAAGCUCUGAUGAUGGUGCUCGUCCUCUAGAUAGGUCUCACCUAUAUGCGAAAUAACUAAAUAAACGUUAAUUAAAGCAUACAACCACAAUUAGCUAAUAACUUCUCAUACAAUGCUCAAAUGGGGUGUUUGAAUAUACCAACGUGAUCUACUCAACACCACGAGCAUCCCCAUAUUUUUAGAAAAAUUUUCCGAGCAUCUACGCACCGGCCAAGGCACAGCCAGAUGCACGGCCCACGUUCAGGCACGUGCCUGACACACCAAACGGAUUCCCUAAUGGAGUUAGGGAAUAUUCCAUUAAAAACCAGCAUAUACCGUUAAAAUUACCUAACGACAUUAGCAUAUUCCGUCAAAUUUGAUAGAAUAUUCUCCUCCUUCCUCCUUGGUUUGCUGAAGUCCAGCACCGGUGCGGCUGCUAUCGCAGGAAACUUGAAAAAUCUUUAAAACUUCAUAUUUUAUUCGAUUCUCAACCAAAAUUCAUGAAAUUUGUCUCAAAAUGAAGCUUAGAGUGAGUAGAACACAUUCUUACCACUUUCAAGCCUUGAAAUCCAUGGAAACUCGCUAGAGAAACCUCGAUAAUCUGGCCAAAAUUUGAAACUCGUCAAACUAAGCUUCCCGAGGUCCAAAACACUCCAACUUUCUUCCCCGAUCGUCGUGAAGACGUCCUAAAACUCCCUAGAACCUUAAAACUCGAAGAAAAGUCCAUAAUCAUGACUGCAUGAACAAUGCUCAAAAUCGGGAUUCUUGGGUUCUCGGGUUUUCGAAGGAUUCAUGUUCUAAAAAUGGUACGGAUGUGUUCCUGAGCUCACAAGGAACACAAAGAUGGCUUCCAAAACCUCGAUCCAUGAUUAGUGAGCUAGGUUCGAGUUUGUCCGUACUGUUGUACGGAAAUGGAAGAAAAUCCGAGAGGGAGGAGAUAGAGAGUCAACGAGAUUGGUUGGUGUGUGUGUGUGUGUGGUCCAACUUUGGGCUACUAACAACAACAAACCAUUAACUUUAAGUUCCAAAAACUUAGGAACUUAACAUAUUGGUCCACCUCUAAAAGUACGUUACACGCAACACAUCUCAAUGUUCAAGAGCAAAAUAGACAUUUCACAUUGUUGAUAAAAAUAAUCUGAGACAGGCUGUGACAAAUAAUGUUUAAAAGUGGUCCAAUGUUGGUUGUGUACAAAUCAUGUGGUGGUUGGUUGGGGAAAAUAUUUAUAUUUCGACAAGUAAACCAUUUUUAAGGAAUUAUGUAAUCAUAAAUUUUUAAUUUAAAUGGAUGUGCGGGGCUGUUUUUUUUCUUUCUUUUUCGAUAGACAUGAGGCGUGUGGGGAUUCUGCUUCGCUAUUUAAAAUACGGUGUACUUGUAGUUCAUUUCAUUUAUUGGUGAAAUAUUUAGGUUUAAAUCUGGUUAACGAAUAAGCCAAAUUAAAUUAUUAUAGUUGAUCUAUUGUGUGAUUUGAACCUAUAUCAUCAUUUUUAGUGUAAAUUAUAGCGUUAUAAUUUUUUUUUUUAAAGUCAUGCUGUUUUAUAAUAGUUUGAAUAUCUGGAAUAAAUCGUUUACCUUUACCUUCAUCUUUAUGUACGUGGAAUUUUACGAGUUAUCUAUUACAAUCCUGGAAACCAAACGAGCUUAAGAAACAAAGAAUCGGAAUAUUUAAACUUAGGACCUUGAAUACAAAAGUGUAUAUUCUUAAUCACUUGAGCUACAAUUUCUUUGUUAGACUUUUGUAGUUUAGAAUGCAUAAUCUAAUAAAAGCUUUAUUUACAGAAGAAAAGAAAGAAAAUGAGGAGACAUGUUUGAUUUGUACUAAAUAAUAGGGGUGUGAUAUCUACACAUCACGUUUUAACUUCUCACACACCCUCUUAAUUUCUAACCGUUAGAUCGAAUGAAUUAAAAAAAAAAUCAAAAGACAAAAAUAAUAAUGCUUAAAGGUGGUCCAAUGUUAGUUGUGUAAAAAUCAUGUGGUGGUUGGUUGGGGAAAAUAUUUAUAUUUUCAAUUUAAAUGAACCUGUGGAGCUUUUUUUUUUUUUUUUUUUUUUCUUUGAUAUUUUGAUACAGACAUGAGACGUAUGGGGCUUGUCAAAAGAGUCAUUCUUCUUUGUUAUUAAUUCAGUCUAGUUGUAUUAUGUUUUAUUAAUAAAAUAUAUAGGUUUAAAUCUUGUUGACUAAUAGGGCCGAACCAAAUAAUUAUAUUUAAUUUAUUGUGUGAUAUUUUCAUCAUCUUUAGUGUAAAUCCUAUGGUUAUAAUUUUUUUUUAAGUCAUGCGGCUUUAUAACAGUUGAAUACAAUAUUGCAAUAAGUGCGAAUAGUGUCAAGAGACUAAUGUGAAACUUUUGUUGAAUUGAAGGACAUAAAUUGACCGAAUUUUUGUUCUAGGACAUAUUCUAAAGUCGGGAGCAAGUUCAGGGAUGAAUUCUCAUUUUCACCUUUUUAAAUCUUUCUUUGCUUAUAAAAACAGAUGAAUACUUGUAUUAUGUGGAAAGAUUUACAAUAUAUGAAGCUAUCGAUUGAAAUGUAAAUGUAAAUAUUGUUGAUGUGAUAUUCAAGUUGUUAGGAUUUAAUGUGAGUCAUUGAAUCAUAGUCUUUUUGGUAUCUUAGAUUAGAUUUCAUUAAGUCAUAACUCAUGACAAGUGUAAUCAUCUCAUAAGGUGACUUAAGAUUGAAUGGUUAGGAUGAUUUUGUAUGGUGUGAUAGAGUGAGAGAGUGUGGUGCUCCUCCUCUAACGAUAAUAUAUUAUUUGCAUGCAUAUUAAAUUAUUAGUCUCUGUGAUGAUAUGGUAGUUGGAAGAAAGUUCAUGUAGUAAAAGAACAAAAAACCAAAUCCCCUCCUUCUUUCCUGCAACCCGCACCUCCACCAGCGUUUUUUUAUCAGGAAAACUAAUGAAAAGGGCUUGAAAACUUUGAGUUUUAAUGAUAAGGACAAAAUAAAGGGUAAAGUGAAUAGUACCAGGAUUGACUUUUUAGUGUAAAAAUAUGGUUUUUCGUUAAAGUGAACAGUACCGGGAGCUUUUCGUUAAAGUUUCCUUUUUUAUCUUCCCCCAAUCAACUUUUUAACCACUCAAAGCUGUCCUAAAAUCCCUUUUCUUCUUCUCUCUCCUCAAAACCUUCUUCUUCCCUUCUUCCUCCCCCAAUCAAAUUUUAAACCCCUCAAAGCUAUCCUAAAAUCCCCUUGUCUUCUUCUCUCUGCUCAAAACCCAAAAAGCCUGCGUGCGCUUCCAACAUCCAGGUUGCAGACAGGUUCGCGGCGAUCUGCAGGCUGCUGGAGCAGUAGAUUUUGCAUUCGGCUUCCUCCGCUAACAAGUCUUAGAUUUGGCAACAGCUCUAGCACUACUCUCAGUUCCCCGAUUUCAAUAACUACCUUGCUUUCAAUCUCGCACGUGCCGAGGUAUGCUCCCCCUCCCUCCACUUCCCCCCAAUUGUGUAUUCAUUUUCAAUUUGAGUCAGUAGGGUUUGUGUUUUUGCUUUUCAAUUUUUAUUUUUUUAAGAGAGAGAGAGGGAUGGGGAAGAAAUUACAGGGGGAAGAAGAAAGGUGGGGGAAGGUUGGGGGAGACUGGUGGUGAAGGAAGGCUGGGGGAGGGUGUGGGUUGCAGGGAAGAAGGAAGGGAGGGUUGGGGGAGGAAGAAAGGAAGAAGAAGAAGUAGAGAGAGGAAAAAAAAAAAAAGAAAAAAAGCUGGAGGGUGCGGGUUGCAGGAAGAAGAAGGGGAUUUCAGGGUUUUUUUUUUAUUAUAAUUUUUUUUAAUAUAUAUUUUUUUAAUGAUAUGUGGCAUCUAGUCAUUGUCCACGUGGAACAACAUGAUCAGUUAACAGAAAACUUAACAGUUUGACUAACGGAUGAAUGAGACUGUCCCAAAAUUUACACUUUAGAUAUAACUCUAAAACGAAAAAAACUUGAUGUACCAAAUGUUGAAAACCACAAAACAUAAAGGUAGUAAAGGGAGUUACCCUAAAAAAAAUUAGAAUUUAAGUUCUUGUGGGGAAGUUUGUUAGUAUUUAUGCCAAAAAAUGAAACUUCCGUCAACUCUCCUUUAAUUAUUAACACGUGAGCUAUACAUAUUAGGCUAAAACAAAAUUCUCCAUCAAUUGUUAGCAUGUGGGGCUUAAAUAUGAGGCUAACUUUAUUUUUUAGUCUCAAAUGUGAGUUUCAUAUGCUAACAAUUAACGAAGAGUAGACGAAAUUUUUAAUUUUGAAUCUAAAUCUAAAUAGAUUUCACCACACGGACUUAAAUCCUCUUUUUUUUGUUGUUAUGAUUUAAUGUGAGUCAUUGGAUCAUAGUUCAUGUGGUCUCUUAGAUUAGAUUUCAUUAAGUCAUAACUCAUAACAAGUGUAAUCAUCUCAAAAGGUGACUUAAGAUUGAAUGGCUCUGAUGAUUUUGUAUGAUGUGAUAGAGCGACAAGUGUGAUGCCCCUCCUCUAACGGUAACAUAUUCUUUGCACGCAUUUGGUGUGAGGAUGAUAAUCCAAUGAGAAUUUCAGCUGUGAUACUUCUUUGCAAUUGUUGCAUCACUGCAAUUCCUCAGAAAUCAUUCCAUUGAAAUCGUACACUCAGAAUCAAUAUACUAACAAAUCUAUUACAAUGGAUUUCCGAAUUACUCGUUUCCCCAUGUUACGCCAACGCAUCUGUAGAACGGUAAGAACUUGGCCGGUGUUAAAGGUAGGCAUUGGUAGCGGUUGGUCAGCCCAAUCUGGUGAUAGUUCCACGAGAUGGCUGAAACUUACAUGAAACCUGUGUAUACCCCCAUCUGUAUCAUCACGAGAGGACGGAGAUAGAUGAGGAUAUAUUUUGUCUCUCCCGCAAGAGUCUGCUACACACUCAAGAAGCACCACGGUGUCAUGUUUUUGAUCCUAAUGAAGACCGCGCGGGUUCGGCGAACAUGCUCCCCGAGGCAUAACCAAAGAAUAAAAAUCAAAACAAUGGCCUGAGCAUGCUACUACUUAGGGGUGGAUUUUUUUGCCUAAUUGCCGUGCCAACCGAAUUACCAACCGUGCCAUACCGAUUUUGUGCCAAAUUUUUUUGUGCCAAUCGGUAAUGGUACGGUAUUCUACCGUACCGAAAUUUCUUGGUACGGUAUUGGUAAUGGAUAUCAUUACCACGGUAUUACCUUACCGUACCGAACAUAUAAUAUAAUAUAUCAUUUAUAAAUUAUAUAAUAUAUAAUUAUAUAACACAUAUUUAUAAUAUUCUAAUAAUUUGAUAUGAUGAAAGAGGCUCAACCUCGGUUCAAGAUUCCAAAUAGGAAGAAGAUUGCGGCCAAUGUGUGGGAUUUAUAUGUGUUGGAGAAGUCUAAAUUAUUUGAAGCAAUGCAUAAUCAAAAGGUAAGUAUCACAACCGAUACUUGGACAUCAGUACAAAACAUUAACUACAUGGUAGUUACCGCUCACUUCAUGGAUAAUGAAUGAAAGUUGCACAAACGGAUCAUAAACUUCAUAAAGAUCACGGGUCAUAAGGGAGAAGACAUUGGGAAAGUUCUAGAGGUGUGUUUGAACCAAUGGAGGAUAGAGAAGAUCUUUAGCAUGGGGGAAACUUCUAUUUGUUUUGGUUCAUAACUUCUAUUUGGAUUGUAAGCUUAAUUUUCAUCAUGAAUCUUGAUACAUCAUUUGAAUUAUUGUGUGUGUGAAUUGUAAAUGAUGAAUAAUAGAUGAAUUUAGGCUACAAUGUAUGAGAUACAGGUACAAUAAAAAAGUUUUGCCCUUGAAUUGGGUUAAAAAAGCAAGAACAAAUUUUGUCCCAAAACAAAGUGGCAAUUACCAUUGCCAUACAAUGCCAACCGAACAUUUGGCAAUACCGAACUUCGAUAUACCGAAAGUUUGGUAUGGUAAUGGUAAUAGAUUUUACCAAACCGAAAGUUUGGUAUGGUAAUUGGUACGAGGGUUUUGGUACGGUAACCGUACCGAACCCACCCCUACUACUACUUGUAUGCCCUUGUCCAAACAGGUACACAAUAUAUCAGGAUUCCCAAACCAAACGAGGUGCAUAUCGUAGCUGUGGCAUAUGCGUAUGCUCUCCAUGGGUAUUUGCUUUCUCUCAUCGCGUUGAACUCAGCGAUGAAGGUAGAAACAGUACUAAGGCAACCCAAAAAUCCAAAUUGUAUGCCUGUUGCAACAAUGUCGCAAGUCUUAGUAUUCACCUGCACAAACAAAUAGUUCUGCACGUCAGAUUUUCUAUUAAAAAGGAAAAAACCGUGGGCAUGGAUCAAGACAACGUAUGACAAAGGUAAUGCAGUUCGAAAAACAUUACAAUAGAGAAUAGUACGGUUCAAGAAUUCCCCAAGAAGCUUUUAAAACCUCGACGAGAAAAAAAAAAACCCAAAAUAACAAAUUUAGCAGUUUAUAAUAUGACGAAUAUAUGUGAACAGUAAGCUUGCCGGACACGAGACAAUAACACAUGAAAGGUAAUGGUGAGGAUGAAGUCAUGGAGUGGAUGCGGACAGAUAUCAUAUCAUAACAGCUUACUGCCUUCUUCACAGUAGACAGGGCUGCCAUUACACAAGCUGCAGAAACAUUGGCAAUUAAAGUACCAAAUGGAACCCAUUUCAACAACCCGGUCUUUCCUAAUCCACAUCCAUUAAGCCGGGCUAAGAACCACCGGAUCCACACACCAAAAGGUCCAACUAUGCAACCCAACCAUAGUUGCGCCUCGCUGCUGCUACUGUUAAAUUCCUCUCUCAACAGUACUCCACCUAUGCUCCACAGAGAACUUAGCAUCAGCAACAACACUACUAAAGCUACCAAGUGACGCUUGUAGCUGUCAACCCUCCACCUCCUUCUAGAGCUGGUAAUACCACAGACUGAGCUUCUCUCAAGAAUCUGCCUAAAACCCUUUGCUGUCUCUACCCCAAAAAUGAUGGAGUAGGCCGCAAGAAACAAACCUGACAUCCGUCACAUAAAAGAGGAUCUCAUAUUAGUCCAGUGAUUUGAGUAACAUUGAUUGAAAUGAAAUUUAAAUAUCCUGUUUGCCAAAGCGAUCCACAUGUCUACUGCAGCAAUUCUUUAGAAUAUGACAUCUUACCUAUCAAAAAGCCGAGCAGAGCAAAAACCCAAUGUCCUUCAACACUGAGUUCAAGCAUUUUCUGGUUCCAACCACUAAAAGUUGUAAGGCUUCCCAAGUAACCAGUUGUUAAUCCGAUGACCAAAUAAUCUGACACAUAGGAUAUAUCUCUUUGAAAACAACACCCAAACACCCCAUCAAGAAAGAGCCAACCUACAAAAAUGCAUUAGAAACAAAAAUUUGAGUUGGAACAUCAUCCAGCAUUUUCGGCAUCACAACCAUUGAGAACUAUGACAUGAAAAAAAAAAAAGAUGAUGGGAAAAAAGUAUGGAAAGAAAGGUGUUAAGAAACUUGAUAAUACUUCGGCGAUCAUCGUACUGUGUGCAUCACAAGUCCUUCCUAAUACUCAUAAGUAACAGCUUUACAGAAAACAUGUUUAUUAACACAACACUACCGAAUAAAGGGCAUAAUACAUUUGUGUGUGUGUGUGUAUGAUCGUGUGCAUGAGAGAGAGAGAGACCAUAUUAGAAGGAAGAUCAAGGUAGAGAAUGGUUUUGUCGCUUGUUACACCAACAACUCCAGGGCCAAACAAUUUUUGCAGAAGAUAUCUCGUUAAGACCUGCAUACUGUAGCAUGUCAAAUAAUCUAUUUAAUAUCUAGGUUUCCAGAUUUGAAGAAAGAUCUAAGAAGAUGUAUUACAGUGACAUAUUCAAUUUUUUCCAAGACAAACAGAAAUAUGAACAUGCCAGUGCAUCAUCAAACAUUUUUGUGAACAAAACUUAUGUAAUUUUAGGGGGUACAAUAGACCGGAUAC